CAUGGAUAUGAUGAAUAGUUGCUCUGCCUGAUUUUCAAAAUUGAGUUUUCUCUCAAGUUUAGACAUAACUGUUAUAAUUUAAAGCUUGCUCUAAACCUAAACUUGUGGGAAGAAAACUUGAUCUGAAGCCUAAGUUGUUAACGGAUAUGAUAUGGGAAGGUUAAGCUGCUGUUUAUCUGUUCCUAGAGAUGCUAGAAUUCUGGAGAAUUUUAUCUUUGAAAAUCUUUAAAAUAUUACAUGAUGAGUUCCUGUAUGAUGAGAGUUUAAAUUCCUACCACAUAUAUACAUGCUUGCUAAAGUUUGAGCCACAUAUUUACUUUUUACUACUUAUGAGCAUUGAGUGUGGUCAAGCUGUGUAGAUCCUUAGGAGCUUGUCAUGUGGUUAAAUUAAGAUUCACUUGCACGUUCACUCACACAUGCUGCUUCUACUCCGAAAGUACCAUCCACAUAUAUCCACCCAUUUCCAUCUCCAGAACCACCCAAAAAUAUUCUACUCUUAAUCUGGGAGAGAAUAGCCAAAAACAUUUCUAUUUUCCCCUGUGAAAUAAAUGCUCAAGUUAUCUUGAUUACUACCACUUGCUAUAUUAUUUCAUGAUAUGAGUGCUCUAAAAAAAGAAGAAGAAAAAGAUACGAGGAAAUAAAAAGGGUCAAGUGCCCGGAACCUCGAAAGAAAAGAAAAAGUGAGACGAGAGGUAAAAAUGGACAAGUGUCCGACUGUAGAAUUAGGGGUACAAGAUACCCACCUGAGAGAAAAGAAAAACAAAAUAUAGAGCAUUUCAUUCUCCUCACAAAGUUUCAAAAAGCAAGAAAGGUAUGUAUCCCCUCAAAGAGCAAAAGAAUUAGACUUUCACCAUUGUUAUCACCAUCAUCACCAUACACCAUUCAUUCGCCACACAUGCACAUCUUGAUUUGACUUAUUGAUUUGUUUCUUUGGAUCCAUGGUUUGACUAUGCAAUAAAUGUCUUGUAAGUAUGUAUAUUUUAUCUCCUACCUAUGAGCUCCAGAUAUCAAAAGCCUUAUUAGAGUAGGAUGAGAGAGAAGGCAAUGUCACUAUGCCUUAUACCACAAAUACCACAUAUUUUGAGAGAAGGCAUAUACCAUAACUGUCUUGGUGAGGAUCCAGAAAUACCACAAAAGAGAGAUUUGAGAGAGUCAUACAAGGAAUCUCUGAGUUUUAUUUAAAAAUCUACAAAAACUCCAGAGCUAUAGCUGAUCAAGAAUAUGAGACAUGGCACUUGAUUAGACCGUUCUAUCUUUUAACUACUCAAGACAGAAGUGACGGUUACAAGUCCCAUGGUGAAAGGUAAAAUGAAUAAGUUUUAAGUCUUGACAGUUUACUCUAACUCAGCGAUGAGAUCUUAUUUAAAAGCAUGUGUACCGUCAAUUUUUAAAGAUAUUGCAACAACUUCUAAUCCAUCGCUGAGAUUAUCCUUGCUCAGGGACGAGCAAGAGGUAAGCUUGGGGGAGUUUGUUGACGGUCCUUAAGUAUCAAAUUUAAUUAUCAAAUAAACAAAGAAAAAGAUCCAAAUGAAAUCAACAUCCAGACUUAGGGUUUUAUCUGACAGAAUUCUACGAGAUUUGGUGUUUGUCUAUUUUUGUAGGGGGUUAUCAGGAAAUACGGAAGAAAGGCCCACACGUCGGGAUUACAUAGAGAUAUUAAUGUGCCGCGCAAUUAUCUUACAUUUAGAAGACUCCAGAAGCCACGGGAACGAAGCGGAGGCAAAACGGGGCCUGGCCCAGGGCGCCCACCCAGGAGACCAGGGCGCCCGCCCUCUGUUGGAGUCCAAUCAGGACACUCUUUCGCGAUCAAGCACCACCGACCUAAAGGAUCAAGGAUAACCGUUCAAUCAAUGUCGGUUUGAUCCGACGACCCAUAUUCACUUGGAGGGACUAUAAAACCAGACCCCCUGGCCCCUAGAGGAGGAGAGCCUCUCAACCUUAAUUCAUUAUUCAUCAAGGGAGAAGAAGCCUCUGAUCAAGCCUAGAGCCACCACAUCAAUUAGACAUCUAGAUUAGCAUAGCUACAUAGGAUUAGAACUAGAAGGAGUCAAUCUUCGAUUGGUUUCCAGAUCUGUCAAGAGGAUUCUUGGUAAUUCUCUAUUGUUCUUCAAUGGUUUAUCUUUGUUCUUCGAUAUUAUGAAUACAACUUUGUUCUACUUCAAUAUAUUGCUUAUGACUUUGCUCUACUUGUUUAUAUUCAAGAUUAUAUUGUUCUUAGUUUAUCAUAGUUAUAUACUUGGCUUAGUUAGAUUGGAUUUAUAUACAUGUUUAGGAUCGUAUAGCGUUUAUCCUUCGGAUCCAUGGGUAAAUGAUAGAUAUUGUGUAGGCAUGGUGCUUAUACCGUAUUUAUCUGCGAUUGUACCCAAUAUACCGGAUCGUGGGGUAGUUCGUGGUAGUGACAGCUCCAUUGAUUCUUAUAUAGUCCCCCUCUCGUGUAUUGGGCUGGCAGAGCAACAUUAUUACAAGGAGUGAUCGCUAUGUUUCUCAUAUUCCUUGCUAAUAUCACUAUGCAUGGGCGUAGUCUUGUCUCGCAAUGGUUGCUAAGUAUACUUGCACUAACUAUGAUAUGCUAGACUGUAUAGUUAUGAAUAACUUAGGAAAUAUUCUUGUAGUUCGUUCUAAUUCCAUGCUAAUGACUUGCUAGAAUAUCUAAUUGAGAUGUUUAUCAUAUUUAUUAUGUGGCUAAGUUAUGCUUAUCAGAUUAAUUAUCUUUGUCACUAUUCAUUACUUCAUAUAUCUUUUAUGUGACACUUAUCCCUGUGUGAAAGAGUUAGAUAAAUGUUCUCAAUUAUACAUGCAAUGAUAGAUACUCAAUCUCAUAUUCCAUUCUAUAAUCAACAUUGAUGAUUGCUAAUCCCUUCCCAGUGGUAAAAAUAUAAAUAACGAUACCUGGAAUACUUUCCGGUUAAAAUGCUACAUCGGUAUUAAUCUGUGCGCUUGCAGAUCCCAUUUGUUUUUUGUUUAGAUGAGCAAUUGCAUAUUUCAAUACCGCGUCUCUCAUGUCAUGCUGGGGAUGACAACUUGGCUUAAGUGGUAUGAGGGAUAGGUUUGGCAUUUUUGGCGCCGUUAUCAGAAUUAGAAAACUAAGUCUACUUUUGGUAAUGAUGUUAAGAAUACCCAACACAAGUGAUGAUCAUGGUGAUGAUGGUGAUGACCACAAGAUGAUCAAAUGCUCAACUUGGAAAAGAAGAAAGAGAAAAACAAAACCCAUAGAGAUCAAGGCAAAGGUAUUGCUUAGGGUUUUGGUUUUGGUGAUCAAGACACCAUAGAGGGUGUGAUCACAUUUAGGAUAGAUAGUCAUACUAUAAAGAGGGGAAUUCUUUGGCUAAGCGGUUAUCAAGUGUCACUAGGUGUCAUUGUUCAUGUGCAUGCAUUUAAAACCUAGUGAGCUAACUUAACUUCUUCAAAGAAAAUGAUUGUGAAAAUGCUAACACACGUGCACAUGUUGGUUUACAAUUGUGGUGUUGGCACACUUUGAGAAGGAGGUGGAGUUUGAAGGGUAGAGAGGGUUUGGGUUCCUCUCUCCCUCCUGCCGAGCUUGCGAGGCGGGAUUUGGUGCUUUUGAGAAAAUGAAAUGCAUAUUUUCUAUUGCGCCGGUGGAAUUUUAGAGAAGCCGCGGGAAUGUUUCUCACAGCGAACGCUGGCCCAGAGGCACCGGAUGCAGUGCUUGUGCAUCCGGUGUGUUGUCUGCUUCUAGUGGUGUUAGGGUUAAGCACCGGACGCGCUGCACCGGACGCGGGCUAGACCCUGUGUGUGCGUCCGGUGUAGCCUGACUUCAGUAGAAAAUUUGACUAAGAGCACUUGAUGCACUGGGAAGGGAUUAGCAAUCAUCAAUGUUGAUUAUAGAAUGGAAUAUAAGAUUGAGUAUCUAUCAUUGCAUGUAUAAUUGAGAACAUUUAUCUAUCUCUUUCAUACAGGGAUAAGUGUCACAGAAAGGAUAUAUAGAGUAAUGAAUAGUGACAAAGAUAAUUAAUCUAAUCUGCAUAACUUAGCCACAUAUAAAUAUGAUAAGCACCUCAAUUAGAUAUUCUAGCAAGUCAUUAGCAUGGUAUUAGGACGAACUACAAGAAUAUUUCCUAAGUUAUUCUUAACUAUACAGUCUAGCAUAUCAUAGUUAGUGCAAUUAUACUUAGAAAUCAUUAUGACAUAGGACUACGCCCAUGCAUAGUGAUAUUAGCAAGGAAUAUGAGAAACAUAGCAAUCACUCCCCUGUAAUAAUGUUGCUCUGCCAGCCCAAUACACGAGAGGGGGACUAUAUAAGAAUCAAUAGAGCUGUCACUACCACGAACUACCCCACGAUCUGGCAUAUAGGGUACAAUCGCAGAUAAAUACGGUAUGAGCACCACGCCUACACAAUAUCUAUCAUUUACCCAUGGAUCCAUUGGAUAAACGCUAUACGAUCCUAAACAUGUAUAUAGAUCCAAUCUAACUAAGCCAAGUAUAUAACUAUGAUAAACUAAGAACAAUAUAAUUGCGAAUAUAAACAAGUAGAGCAAAGUCAUAAUCAAUAUAUUGAAGUAGAACAAAGUCAUAUUCAUAAUAUCGAAGAACAAAGAUGAACAAUUGAAGAACAAUAGAGAGUUACCAAAAAUCCUCCUGAUAGAUUCGGAAACCAAUCGAAGGUUGACUCCUUCUAGUUCUAAUCCUAUGUAGCUAUGCUAAUCUAGAUAUCUAAUUGAUGUGGUGGCUCUAGGCUUGAUCAGAGGCUUCUUCUCCCUUGAUGAAUAAUGAAUUAGGGUUGAGAGGUCCUCUCCUCCAAGGGCCAUGGAGUCUGGUUUUAUAGUCCUUCCAAGUGAAUAUGGGCCGUCGGAUCAAACCGACAUUGAUUGAACGGUUAUCCUUGAUCCUUUAGGUCAGUGGAGCGUAAUUCCAAUAGAGAGUUCUGAUUGGACUCCAACAGGGGGCGGGCGCCCUGGUCCCUAGGGCGGGCGCCCUGGGCCAGGCUCCGUUCUACCUCCGCCUCAUUCUCAUUGCUUCUGGAGUCUUCUAGAUGUAAGAUAAUUGCGCAGCACGUUGAUAUCUCUAUGUAAUUCCGACGUGUGGGCCUUUCUUCCGUAUUUCCUGAUAACCCCCUACAGAAAUAGAUAAACACCAAAACUCGUGGAAUUCUGUCAGAUAAAACCCUAAGUCUUGAUGUUGAUUGCAUUUGGAUCCUUUUCUUUAUUUAUUUGAUAAUUAAAUUUGAUACUUAAGGACCGUCAACAAACUCCCCCAAGCUUACCUCUUGCUCGUCCCUGAGCAAGGAUAAUCUCAGCGAUGGAUCAGAAGUUGCUGCAAUGCCUUUAAAAAUUGACGGUACACAUGCUUUUAAAUGAGGUCUCAUCUAUGAGUUAGAGUAAACUGUCAAGACUUAAAACUUAUUCAUUUUACCUUUCACCAUGGGACUUGUAACCGUCACUUCUGUCUUGAGUACUUAAAAGAUAGAACAGUCUAGUCAAGUGCCAUGUCUCUUAUUCUUGAUCAGCUAUAGCUCUGAAGUUUUUGCAGAUUUUCAAAUAAAACUCAGAGAUUCCUUGUAUGACUCUCUCAUAUCUCUCUUUUGUGGUAUUUCUAGAUCCUUACCAAGGCAGUGAUGGUAUAUGCCUUCUCUCAAAAUAUGUGGUAUUUGUGGUAUACGACAUAGUAACAUUGCCUUCUCUUUCUCACCCUACUCUAAUAAUGCUUUAAUAUCUGGAGCUCAUACGUGGGAGAUAAAGUAUACAUACUCACAAGAUAUUUAUUGUAUAGUCAAACCAUAGAUCCAAAGAAAUAAGUCAAUAAGUCAAAUCAAGAUGUGCAUGUGUGGCGAAUGAAUGGUGUAUGGUGAUGAUGGUGAUAACAGUGGUGAAAGUCUAAUUCUACUUUUGCUCUUUGAGGGGAUACAUACCUUCCUUGCUCUUUGAAACUUUGUGAUGAGAAUGAGAUAGACCCCUCAAACAAAUAGAGCCGUUGGCUCUUUCACUAGGUCGAACUCGGGGUCACCGGACACUCUUAAAUGGGCACCGGACGCUCAACACCUCCGUCCGGUGCUCCAAAGUCAACCAGGUGUCAGAGUCUAACGGUAACCUACAGAGCACCGGACGCUGAGCAAGUUGCCACCGGACGCGUCCGGUGCACACCGGUCUUAAACACAAAGAGGUCUGCAAAACGCACAGGUCACCGGACGCACACCACCGGACACUCCCAGAGCGUCCGGUGCUUCUAGACAGACACUUUGGCAGAAGUCAGAUAGCACCGGACUCAAGAACAGGAGUCACCCUGCGUCUGGUGAGCACCGUCCGGUGCUUAACCCUAGCACCACAGCACACCGGACACACAUCCUCUGCGUCCGGUGCCUCAACGGUCAACGUCCGGUGAGUGUUUCUCUGCGAAGAACACCCAUCCUCUCUCUACCCUUCAAACUCCACCUCCUUCUCAAAGUGUACCAACACCACAGUGUGUAAACCAACAUGUGCACGUGUGUUAGCAUUUUCACAAUCAUUUUCUUUGAAGGAGUUAAGUUAGCUCACUAGGUUCUAAAUGCAUGCACAUGAACAAUGACACCUAGUUACACUUGAUAACCGCUUAGCCAAAGAAUUCCCCUCUUUAUAGUACGGCUAUCUAUCCUAAAUGUGAUCACACCCUCUAUGGUUUCUUGAUCAACAAAACCAAAACCCUAAGCAAUACCUUUGCCUUAAUCUCCAUAGGGUUUUGUUUUUCUCUUUCUUUUUUUAAGUUGAGUACUUGAUCAUCUUGUGGUCAUCACCAUCAUCACCAUGAUUAUCACUUGCUCCAUCACUUGGCAUGUACCAACCUCAUUAAGUCUACACACACUUAGUAUAGAGGUUAGUACAAGGGUUUCAUCAAUUAUCCAAAACCAAACAAGGGCUUUCACUAUCUUAGACAUAUAAUCAAAGUAGACAAUGACUAAUGCAAUUAAGAACAUAUCAAUCUAUUAAGAAUAAUGUCUCCCUAAUACACAAUUAAAUACUGUAAAGUAAGAACUAGAUCAAUUACCGAACUCUUGCUCUCCAGACCGACGCCAGUGGCUCCAGAUCCCGUUGAAGAACUAGAUCUCCUCUACUUCUAAUCUAACUAACUAGAACUAUGAACUAGAAGGCUGUUGAUGAACGUGAAGGCGCUUGAUGCUUGAUGGCUUGAGGCCUUAUUGAACUGGUUGAUACAAGAUUGUCUCUAGGGUGUCUACCCAUGUAUCUAUAGUCUGGUGGGAUGCGUGUGCGCCGUAGGAUCAAACCAACUAAGGUCCGAGAUGACUCCUCAAAGGUGGUGGAGGAAGCUUCCAGAAGAGGGGGCCGAAACCCUAAAGUGGGGCACCGACCGGCACUAGGGUGGGGCCGACCGGCCCCACCUGGCAGCCGCCAGGCCCCCCGUUGCUCUAGGUGGCUUCUCGAUCCUUCCUGAGUCUUCUCGCAACGUUUCCCGUGGUGAAUAGUUUUCGUGUUUACUUUGCACUAGAGUCCCUCUUUUUCAGCUUUCCUAAAAUUCACCCUAGAAAAUACAGAAUAUACAAAAGUCAUGGAAAUUAUUAGUUUAAACCCUAUACUAGUCUGUAUUCAUGUUCUCCGUUAGGUUUAAAGUUAUAAUAAAAGUUGACAUUAUCGACCAUCAACAAUUCCCCCAAGCUUACCUUCUUCUAGUCCUUUGGCAAAUAGAGCCUAAGCAAUAUAUGUAUUUGGAUCAAGAGUUGCUACAAGGUUUUCAUUGUUUCCAAGUACACAUGCUCCCAAACAAAGAUUCUCCUCUAGAUUAGUUAAUAGCUACUCUAAUCUUCAAACUUACCCAUUUUACCUUUAACCAUGGGGCUUUAUAGCUUUUCCAUGAGUCUUGAGCAAUCAGAAGAUAGAACAAUCAGGUUAAGCACUAUGUCUCUAAUUCUUUGCAGAACCAUUAUUCCAGAGUUUUUAUAAGUUUUUAGAAUAAAACUUAGAGCUUAAUUCUAUGACACCCUCAAUUCUCUCAAUGUAUCUGGUAUUUAUGGAUCUCUCUUGAGGCAUUAAUGAUGUUAUACCUCCUAUAGCUAAAGAUAUAUAUAUAUGGUAGAGCUUAUAGGAGUGCUAAUAACAAGGAUAAGCAUACUUGCAAUGCAUGUAUUGUAAAGUCAACUAAUGGAUCCAUAGAGAAUCGAGGCAUACAAUCAAACCAAGGUGUGCAUGUGUAUGGAAUAUGGUGGAUAGGUUAAUCUAUGGUAUUUUUGGCUAAUUUUUAUUUCUUUGGGAAUAUCUCUAUUAAAACUUUUCAGGAAAGACAUGGGCUAUCUCUUUCUUCUUCUUUUUUUUACAGGGAAGCGAGGAUCUAGUACCCAUUGUUUUAACUAUUGAGACACUUGUCCAUCUUUUACUCCCUUUUCUUCUUUUAUAUUUUUGCAUAGCCACAUGGUGUCCUUUAAAUACAAUAAAUGAUUAGAGAGGUAAUAACAAGAACAUGGAACAUUAAAGACAAGGGUUAUCCUAUAGGGUGAUUGUUGGUGUUUACUCCCAGUGUAGGAGAAAAACAUGAUUGAUGAACAUGGAAAUGAUUGCGAUUACUCCCUGUGUGGGAAUAAUGCAUAUGUGAACUGGAGUGUGUACUUGAUCUUGGUUUUAAAAGCAUGGCAAGACUCUCGUAAGGUAUACUACAAAGGUUGACUAAACUCAAUGAAAACCAAGCAGCACAAAUGUGUAAAUGUUUUCCUAACUCUAAAUGGAUAUUAUAUAUGGCUUUGGUAGGAAUUCAUGCUUUGUCAUACAAGAGCUCACCAUGUAGGAUUUUGGUUUUCAAAAUAAAUAUCUAGAACUUAGUAAUGCUAGGAAUAAGAUAAAUAGUAGCUUAGACUUUCAAUGAUCAUAUCAACCAACUACCUAGACUUAGCUCAAACUUAUGCCUCCACAAAUUGCAAGUUCAGAGCAAAUCUUCAAAUUAAAACAGUAAUGUCUAAAACUCGAGAAAAUCUAAUGUUGGAAUCUUGGUACUUGUAAAGAAUAGAGCAACUAUUCAUCAUUUCCAAGACAAAUUUUAAUGUUCAUCAAUUUUUAUUUAGCUCUAGUUUAGACUGACUCUAAACAGACUCUAACACUUAACUAAUUAUAAACUCAUAAAAGACUCUAUGACUUGUGGACCUUCAUGUGCCCACAUAUUUUUGGUAUUUUUGUAACUAUAUAGACUCAAUAAUCGCUUAGGUAUAAUUACCUGAUAACUAGGGGAUGCUCCUCCUCCAAGCUGGAUGUUUGCAAUACUUGGUGUUGAUGUCCUUUAGUGCGAGCUAGCUAGUAGCAAACCUGGUGGGUGCCACUGAUAGACUCUCUCCUUCCUAUGUGUUAUUCCUGCAUAGUAAUACUCCAAAAAGAGAACCAAAAAUUGAGGCUUGAAUUUAAUAAUGGGUUAGCGGUCAGCCAAUGAGCAAUUGAUUAUUCUUAUGAGCUAAUUUUAAUGUUGUUGAUUUAAGAAGGAUCUUUCUUUUCUCUUCUUUUUGAAUUUUCUAUUUAUGAUGCAUGAAAUAAAUAUGAAUGCCAUUUAAUUUUAUUUUUAUGCCACCAUAGUAAAUAUUCCUAAGGGGUUACCAUAAGUUUAUUCACAUGGGGCUUUGGUAUUUAUGAUGCAGUACUUAAAGCAAUAAAUAUUUUUUUGUAUUUUGUAUUAAUAUGCCAAGAGAAUUAAAUAUGCUACUAAAUGUAUUAAAGCGAAGUUACUAAUGCAUGCUAAUUGAACUAGAUAACUACCAUUCUGACCUUAUGGCUAGGGUAUGGAAUUUACAGUCUACCGAUAGGACUUAGAUAACGGAGAGGACUUACUCAGUGGGUUCAUUGUCUGAGGUAACCUCAGUCAACUCCCCGUCUUGCGAUGAUGUGAUACGUGCAUCUUUCUUCCAUCUUGCUUCUGUCUCGUUUACUUCUUCCUUCUCUAGUUCCAACUCUUCAGCUUUGUUCUCCUUUUCCUAGGAUUCUAAUCGGGCUAAGAUCUUCUCUUUCUCUUUCUUGGCAAUUUGGUCUAUCCUUUCAGCUUCUUCGGCCCACUCACUCCAUCGAGGUGCUUGCGUGUUCUCUUCUUGCUCCGUGAAGCGAUCUUCAUAUUUCACAGUCUUCCUAGGAAAGUCUUCCCAUCCGUAGUAGUCUGGGCAGCGUGAUAAUGGGUUUGGUGUCUUCUCCUGUUGCGUUGCUUCCUGAUCUAUUCAUGGUUAACUAGUGUUCUAAAUUGACAGCGUACCUUUCCAGCAGAUAAGUUGAAGUGGAUAUGCCCUGAUCCGAUGUAGAUGUUGGCUUUGGUUGUGUAGAGGAACGAUCUUCCCAAGAGGAUUGGGGACUCAUCGUCUCCCUGCAUGUCAAGAACUAGAAAAUCUGUAGCUAUAUAUUGUUCUUGAAUUCUUACCAUGACAUCCUUGACCACUCCUUCUGGGAAUCUUAGUGAUUGAUCCGCCAUCUACAACUGAAUAUAUGUUGGGUAUAAAGGUUAAUCAAAUAAUUGAUCAUAUACCUAUUUUGACAUUACAUUGCAGCCUGAUCCAGUGUCACAGACAGUGUGGGGGAAGGUGGUGUUUUUGAUUGUGCAUUCAAUGAUUGGAACUCCUGGAUCACCUCUCUUGAUUGGAAAUGGCUUGGGUAGCAUAUGAUCAUUCUCUAUAUGAGAGCGGUGAGCAAUUGAGUUGUUUCUGCACGUGCAUGCUUGGUCUUUCUCCAUCUUCUGUUGUUUCUAUUAUUCUUCUUCUUCGGCAUUGAUUGCUGUUCUUGCUUUCCUUGUUGGUAGAAUUGCUUCAGGGCUGCAAGAGCUUUUAGGACACGGUUCUUGAAUGUGAAUCUCUCCUUCUUGUCCAUGAUGGAUAAGACAAUCUUGGCGUACUCCUUAUAGAUGAUGGCUUUUGUUGUGCAAAAGAAUGGUCUGCCCAAAAUGAUGGGUGCCUUCUCAUAUACUCCUGUCUCCAUGACCAUGAAGUCAACUGGGACAUAUGAUUGCCCCACUCUAAUGAAAACUUCUUCUAGUACUCCCUCAGGGUAGCAAAUGGACUAAUCUGCAAGCUAAAAACGCAUAUUUGUGUACAACAAGGAAUCAUUUAAUAUUUUCUCAUAAAUUACAUUGGGCAUGAUGUUGACACUUGCACCAAAGUCACAGAUAGCCUCUGGAAAGCUGUGGCAUCCUAUAGAGAUAGGAAUAACAGGUCUUCUAGGGUCUCCCAUCUUCUCUAGUAGAGAGUGGUCCAUCCACUUUAAACUGCAGGCUCAAUAUGAUAUUGGGUUGCAUUGUGAAUAUCAACAAGGUUAGCAGUUUCUAAAUCUUCUAGUUGGCCUAGAAUCUUGCCUUUUUCUAAUGGAGGAAUAGCAUCAGCUAAUUGAGCUAAUUGUGAUUCUAGCAUUUUAUUGAAACUAUGUUGAUUCUUUAUAGCAGAAGCAAAUGUAUCCAUCCUAGUAUGUAUGUUUUCCAAAGUUUUAUCAUUUGAUGUUAGUUUCCUAGUCAUUUGAUCUAGUAGUUUGGAUUGACUAGCGACUAAUUCUUUCAAAGGCAGAAAUUUAUUAUUAAAACUAUUACCUUGGUAAUUACCUUGUCGAGUUUGUUGAUUCCAUCCUUGAUUUUGUUGAGGACGAUAGUGCUGACGGCCCUUAAGUAUCAAAUUUAAUUAUCAAAUAAACAAAGAAAAGGAUCCAAAUGAAAUCAACAUCUAGACUUAGGGUUUUAUCUGACAGAAUUCUAUGAGUUUUGGUGUUUGUCUAUUUCCGCAGGGGGUUAUCAGGAAAUACGGAAGAAAGGCCCACACGUCGGGAUUACAUAGAGAUAUCAAUGUGCCACGCAAUUAUCUUACAUCUAGAAGACUCCAGAAGCCACGAGAAGGAAGCGGUGGCGAAACAGAGCAUGGCCUUGGGCGCCCGCCCAGGAGACCAGGGCGCCCGCCCUGUCCCAGAGUCCAAUCAGGACUCUCUUCGGGGAUUAUGCUCCACCGACCUAAAGGAUCAAGAAUAACCGUUCAAUCAAUGUCGGUUUGAUCCGACGGCCCAAAUUCACUUGAGGAGACUAUAUAAGCAGACCCCCUGGCCCAUGGAGGAGGCACCCCUUGAUCCCUAUUCAUUAUUCAUAGACAAAGCAAAAGCUAGGGUUUGGAGAUGAGUGCUCUCCUCUCAUCUCUAAACUAGAGUAGAUCUAGAUAGUAGCAAGAUGGAGAGCGAGGGAGGAUUAGAGGAGAGGCCGACCUGUCGGUUCUUCCUCUGGUUGUACUUCGCCAUGAUCAAGCUCUAAUCAAGCUUGCUCAUGGGAUGACUCUGGUAAUCUACUUCUAAUUCAUUAUGCAAUUACUAAUCAUGUAUGUUCUGGUUCACAACUCUUUUGAGUACAUCUAAUCUAUAGGACCCUAUAGGUUAGAGUUGUAGUAUAGGUGUAAGCGUGGUGCUUAGACCUAGAUUACUUGUGGAUAUCCCCUGACUAGCUGGAUCGUGUGGUAGGCCGCAUAGGUGACAGUUACGUUGGUCCCAUGUAGUCCACCUCCUGUUAGCAGGACGGGUAGGGUUUAUCGGCCUAUGGAUGAGCAUCCUUUGUGGUGUAUUCUUAUCACGUGGUUCGUCCCAGACAUAGACAUACCCCUUUGAAGUAGAGAAACCAUAGUUAUCCUCUCUAUUUUGCUACCAUCGCCCAUAUACUAGAUUGCUCUACUCUCUAUUCCCGUAUUAUCAUCCAUUGUUAUCUUACCUUUAAUAUUGUUCUUAUUUAAUUCUACCAUCUUUCCUAUUUACACUUAUCUAUCUAUCUUGGUUAAGUUAAAGCGUAGUUGGUUCUCCCGUUUCCCUGUGGAUACGAUAAAACCUUUAACCGGGUAAAAGCUACAACGGUAUCCAUGCGCUUGCGGAUUUAUCUGUGUGCGUAUAAAUACCAUAGUACACUCUAGUGCCAUGCUGGGGAUAACAACCUAGUAUUCAAGUGGUGUUAGCAAGUGUCAACAAGCAUUUUUGGCGCCGUUGCCAGGGAAACGGUUGCUGAGUUGACUGCGAACUAGCUUAAUCAUUUUCUAAAAAUAAAUAAAUAAAUAAAUAAAUAAAUAAAAAUAAAUAUAUAUUUUUCCUUUUAUCCUUUGCCUCAUCUCUGCUAUUCUUUCUUCUUAUCUAAUCCUUGACUUCUGGUCUAUCAUGAAUUCAAACAUGUCUAUCUAUGAAUUCCAUAGACCUACGGGCACACAUCUCGAACCACCAAGAUCUUCAAAGCCUAUAUAGCAUCUAGUUUUGAGAUAGACCCCGAAUACAUAGAAUUUAUACAAAAACAACCUUUCUCAGGAGAAGGUGAGGAAAACCCAUACACACACCUAAGAGAGUUUUAUCGAGUCUGUGACCUCCUUCGCAUUGAAGGCAUGUCCGAUGAGACCCUUAAAUGGAAGCUCUUUCCGUUCUCUUUAACAGGAAAAGCUAGACAUUGGUACAAACUCAAAGUAGGGAGUGUUCAUGGAGAUUGGAAGGAGUUAUAUAAUAGUUUUCUUUCUAAAUAUUUUCUAAUCUCCAAAGUGGCAGAACUUCGGUGUGAGAUUAUUUCUUUUAGACAACUGGAAGAAGAAUCUCUUGGCAAAUCAUGGGACCGCUUUAUUAACCUUACUCUCACUGGCCCAAAGCUUUCUAUUCCACAAGAAGUUCUUCUAAUUCACUUUUGUGAGGGCCUUAGUGGGGAAAAUAAUCAAACCUUGAAUACAGCCUCUAGAGGAUCCUUCUAUCACCUACCUGCUAGUGAUGCUUGGAAUUUGAUUGAUUUAAUGAGCGAAAAGUCUCCUAGCUUUUAUAUCCCUAAGAAAGAGAAAGAACCAGUUCCUAGACAAGAAGAAGAAGUUUCGAUAGCCAGAUCACAACUACUUCAAUUCCAAACUUUAGCUAUCGAUCCUAAACCAUCAAUACCCGAAAAUUCUUCAACGGAGGAAGGAAUUCCGACCUUAAAUCUUUCAGAUACUGAUGAUUUAGACUUUUGGUUCCAUAAGAAACCUUGAAGCAGGGAUAAUUCAAGUCCUUGCAAUAAUGGUUCUCUUAGAGAAUGUCCUGGUUUCUGUUAUGAAGAAGUCGAGGAUGACAUAUCAAGUGAAGGAGAGCUAAGCCAGAUAGAAAAUUCUAACACCUCCCCUUGCAACAAGUUCUAAAUGGCUAGAAUGUGUAGAAUGGAUGGAUAAGGAAGAAGCCUUAAUGGAUUCUGACUUUGGCUCAAUUUCAAAUGGUGAGUUCUUGACUCCCUUUGAAAAUGGGAUUCAUCCAACUAUAGAAGAGGACAUAAGUGAGACCAAUCCAGGAGAAACUCCGAACAUUCAGAUUGGAGAUGAAGAUAACAUUAAUGAGCAUGGAAUUUAUUUCAUAGCCACUUCAUUUACUCCAUGCUCAUAUGCAACAUCUUCCCAAUCUAUUGGUCUCUCCGACAUCACCACACUUGAGAUCUCCAACCCCCUCUUCCUUUCUAUUUAUAAAAACUUUAAAAGGGCGGUUGCCGAUGCAUAUGUCUAUAAUAAAUAUUGCAGAUCUUGUUGAGUUGAUCUUGAUAUAGGUUAGCGUUGGAAGGGAAACCACUUCGCCGACACAAAUUGAUGGUUUCCCAAGGACAAACUUAGUGUCCUAAAAUAAGCACUGAUCAGAUCGUAACAUGAGCUUUUAAUUAUCUGCAACAUUACCUUGUGUAUUGAGCAUAUAAGGAUAAUUGUAAAAAUAUUCCUUCGGGUAUUCUUGUCACUAACCUUUCCAGGACUGGAGCAAGAAGAUCGGAUGAAUGACAAGCACAAGGUAUGUCCAACCGAUCAUCAUACAACAUUGAAUUAAAUUCAUCCAAACUUGAAUUUUGCAAAAUUCAAGCUUGGGGUAGUACCUUACAUAAAAACGUCCUUUGUCAUGUUGUUAUGUUGGUUGUCUCUACCUUUGAGACAUGCUCAAUUUGUUAAAUACUAAUCACACUACUUCAUCUCCACUUGAGUAGAUCUCUAUAAAUGCCAUCACGCUACCUUUGUUUAUCCUAGUAAGUGUUAGUUUGGAAGUACUACACAUACUUCUAUUGGCUUUUAAAUUAAGCAUGGUGCUUAGGUUAAACAGCCUUCCUUAAUCUGAUUAGACAUGGAGUCUAGUUCGGUUAUUGAACUAAAAACUGCUUGUGUAGACAUUGGUAUAUUUUGUCGGACUAACCCCUGCAGAAAAACUUUCAAUAUCAAUUUGGGAAGUCCUGAGAUAAACUCACAUUGAAGACAAAGAGAGAGACACAUGAAGUUUAACAAUUUACACAAGGAGGACAUAGCUCAUUCAUCAUAGAGAGAUGAUCCAUGGAAGGAGACAAAGUACAUAACCAAGAUGAACAACAGCUAAGAAUGGAAAGCUUCCACAAGGUGAUACUGUACCAUCACUCUUCAAUUAAGAUAACAUCUUAAGAUAUCUGACUAUCACUUUUAUAAGCUUCUCCUUGGUUCUGGCGUUCACAUAAAUAAAGAGACAAACAUGUAUGAUUUAUAACUCCAAAUUAACCAACCCAACUGAUUCAGCAUGUUUAGUCCUUUAAUCUUUGUUCCUAGUACUACCUCCAUGAUCCCACACUCCUAAUCAUAUGAUCUAAAAUGUUACACAUUCAAUCUUUGAGAGAUAUAAAGAAAAAGACAUAUAAAUAGAUAGAUUAUCUCUCCAUAAGGUUGAGCGAUCUGCUUUGACAAAUGCUAUAAGUGCCACACUCAUGAACUUAUCAUCCAUCAACUUUGUCUUGCUCACUAUGCUUAAGGUUAGAGAAGAACAAAUACACUUUUGGUUCUAUUGGUGUUUUCCACCAACAGGACCCAUGCACUUGAUCUCUGCCUUGUCUCUAUGAGCAGGUACACUUCGAGCAAAACAUGAAGGAGUUUUAUAACUCUCAGACUCUACCAAGUGAAGGUCCUGGAUUUACGAGCACAAACACACUGAGUAGGAUGCUGCCAACGCCGCACUUCGAACUGCUGGGCAAACGAAGAACAUGGGUGAUACCGUAUCAAGAGGAGUAGACGUCAAGGUCCGCACCUGAAUCAAAUGACGCACCUGAAGAAUGAACAUGGUGAGAAGUCUUGUUCAGAAGACUUAAAACAUUGAACCCUCGCCGAAAGGUAAAAUCGGUAGUUAUCCAUAUUUAUCCUUUCUGCAUUCCCUUUUCCCUUUAGUUACUUACUUUCCUUAAAUAGCUUAUUAGUUAAUCAUGCUAUCCUGAAAAGAAAAUAAAAAUGUUAAAAAUACUAAGCCCCAUGUGAGUAUGCUUGUGGCAUGAAACCCAUAAGUACAUUCACUGUGGCGGCAUAAAAAUAAAAUAAAUAUAUUCCUAUCUUAUAGAAAUGAAAAUAUAAAAAUAAAUUUAUGAUCCUACCAAAGAGAGUAAUAUUUAUUAGAGAAAGCUCAACAUGAUAAAGGCGAAGAGAUUUUAUGCUAACACUUAACCAGUUCCACAAAGCUUUGUUGUCUAUUUGAGCUCCACAGAAUUCAAGGAUCAAAGAAGACUAGCAGACGGAGGACAUUCUAAUCGCUGUCACUGCCGACAUUCAAAUACACCUCCGCCACCUGCUAGCUACAUCAGAAGAAAUUACGUCAAAAUCUAGCUUGGGGGAGAGCACCCCCAUUUAUCCAGCUAGGUGUUUCUACUCAUAUUUAUACAUUACUCAAAUAAUAAAAAGAUGCAUAAUCAUAAAAACCCAAAUAAAGAUUUUAUGCUUAUAUAUAUAUCUAUGCUUAGUUUGCUAAAUAAAUAAAUAAAUAAAGUUUGCUAUGAACCCUCAUGAUAAGCUCUCACAUGGAUAUGAUGAAUAGUUGCUCUGCCAUGACUAGUUCUCAAAAUUAAAAUCUCUCUCAAGUUUAGGUAUGACUGUUAUGAAUUAAGAUUUGCUCUAAACGUGAACUUGUGGGAAGAGUACUUGAUCUAAAGUCUAAGUCGUUAACGGAUAUGAUAUGGGAAGGUUGAUCUCCUGUUUAUCCGUUCCUAGAAAUGCUAGAUCUCUGGAGAAUUUUAUCUUAAAAAAAAAUCUUUAAAAUAUGGCAUGAUGUGUUCCUGUAUGAUGAGAGUUUAAAAUCCUACCACAGCCAUAUAUACAUGCUUAUUAGCCUAUGAACCAUACAUUUACUUUUUACUACUUAUGAGCAUUGAGUGUGGUCAAGCUGUGUAGACCCUUAGGAGCUUGUCAUGUGGUUAAAAUCAAGAUCCACCUGCACGUUCACUCAUACAUGCUGCUUCUACUCCGGAAGUACGCAUCCACAUACAUCCAUUCAUUUCCAUCUCCAGAUUCACCUAAAAUUAUUCUACUCCUAUCCAGGAGAGAAUAGCCAAAAACAUUAUCCUAUCCCUGUUAUUCCCUGUGAAAUAAAUGCUUGAGAUAUUUUGGUUACUACCACUUGCUAUAUUAUUCUAGGAGGGUGAGUGCUCUGAAAAAAAAGUGAAUACGAGGAAAUAAAAAGGGGCAAGUGCCCGGAACCUCGAAAGAAAAGAAAAAGUGAGACGAGAGGUAAAAAUGGACAAGUGUCCGAUAGUCGAAUUAGGGGAACAAGAUACCCACCUGAGAGAUAAGAAAAAAAAUAAAAUAUAGAGCAUCUCAUUCCCUUCAAAAAGCUUCAAAGUGCAAGAAAGGUAUGUAUCCCCUCAAAAGAGCAAAAGUAGAAUUAGACUUUCACCAAUAUUUUCACCAUCAUCACCAUAGACCAUGCAUUCGCCACACAUGCACAUCUUGAUUUGACUUGUUGACUUGUUUCUCUGGAUCCAUAGUUUGACUAUGCAAUAAAUGUCUUGUAAGUAUGUAUUAGCUGUCUCCCACCUAUGAGCUCCAGAUAUCAAACCUUAUUAGAGUAGGGUGAGAGACAAGGCAAUAUCACUAUGCCUCAUACCACAAAUACUACAUACUUUGAGAGAGUCAUACAGGAAUCUCUGAGUUUUAUUUUGAAAAUCUACAAAAACUCCAGAGCUAUAGUUGAUCAAGAACAAGAGACAUGGUACUUGACUUGACCGUUCUAUCUUUUAACUGCUCAAGACACAAGUGACGGUUGCAAGCCCCAUGGUGAAAGGUAAUAUGAGUAAGUUUUAAAUCUUAACAAUUUACCCUAAACUAGAGAUGAGAUCUUGUUUAAAUGCAUGUGUACCUUUAAGGCAUAAAACCACUGUAGAAACUCUUGAGUCCAUCCUUGCUCAGGGACGAGCAAGAGGUAAGCUUGGGGGAGUUGUUGACGGUCCUUAAGUACCAAAUAUAAUCAGCAAAUAAACAAAGAAAAGGAUCUAAAUACAACCAACAUCUAAACUUAGGGUUUUAUCUGACAGAAUUCCACGAGUUUUGGUGUUUGUCUAUUUCUGCAGGGGGUUAUCAGGAAAUAUGGAGGAAAGGCCCACAUGUCGGGUUUACAUAGAGAUAUGAACGUGCCGCGAAAUUUUCUAUCAUCUAGAAGACUCCAGAAGCCACGAGAACGAACGGGUGGCUGAGCGGGCUCAGGGGCAGGGCGCCGCCCUCCCCCCUUGGGCACCCGCCCUGUCCUAGAGUCCAAUCAGGACUCUCUUCGGGGAUUAUGCUCCACCGACCUAAAGGAUUAUGAAUAACUAUUCAAUGAAUGUCGGUUUGAUCCGACGGCCCAGAUUCACUUGAGGGGACUAUAUAAGCAGACCCCCUGGCCCCUGGAGGAGGCACCCCUUGAUCCCUAUUCAUUAUUCAUAGACAGAGCAAAAGCUAGGGUUUGGAGAUGAGAGCUCUCCUCUCAUCUCUAAUCUAGAGUAGAUCUAGAUAGUAGCGAGAUGGAGAGCGAGGGAGGAUUAGAGGAGAGGCCGGCCUGUCGGUUCUUCCUCCGGUUGUACUUCGCCAUGAUCAAGCUCUAAUCAAGCUUGCUCAUGGGAUGACUCUGGUAAUCUACUUCUAAUUCAUUAUGCAAUUACUAAUCAUGUAUGUUCUGGUUCACAACUCUUUUGAGUACUUCUAAUCUAUAGGACCCUAUAGGUUAGAGUUGUAGUAUAGGUGUAAGCGUGGUGCUUAGAUCUAGAUUACUUGUGGAUAUCCCCUGUCUAGGUGGAUCGUGUGGUAGGCCGCGUAGGUGACAGUUACAUUGGUCCCAUGUAGUCCACCUCCUGUUAGCAGGACGGGUAGGGUUUAUCGGCCUAUGGAUGAGCAUCCUUUGUGGUGUAUUCUUAUCACGUGGUUCGUCCCAGACAUAGAUGUUGAUAUUUGGUAACACAAUUAGAAAAUGAUCCGCAAGCGCAUGGAUAUCGGUGAGCAUUUCACCCGGGAGGUUAUCCAGAGUUAUCGUAUUUAUAUUUUUACCACUGGGAGAAAGGGUGCAUCUGACUAACCAAAUCUAUUGCUACUAUCCCUUUAGGCUACAAAGAAUGUCUCUCGAUGUGAGUGAUGUAUAGAGAAGACUGCAACCUUAGUCUCGUUCUAACCUUGGUAAGGAUGAUCUACUGUUCUAUUGGAGAGGCUCACGGAAUCUAGACAACACAAAGGAUGUUCGACCCGCACCUAUAAACCUACCCGUCCUGCUAACGAGAUGUGAUCUGCAAAGGUAACUCGGAAAUGUCACGUUCCUCGCUACUACCACGGUCCAGCUAGUCAGGGGAUAUCUAUGAGUACCCUAGCCUAAACACCACGUUUACGCUAACAAGUGAUCACUCUAAUACUCAACCGGAAGAGGAUUAAAGUAAACUCAUAAACCAAAGAACAAUAAAACAAGAACUUACUAGAAUUAGAAGUCGAAUUACUGAAGAAUCUUAGAAGCAAGCCUCGGGUUAGGAGACUUGAUCCCGCAGGUACAACUCGGAGUAGACACCGACAGGCCGGCCUUCCUCCGAUCCACACCUCCACUCUAUCUCUCUCAAUCUAGUAGAAACUAGAAGAUCUAUUUCUACCUUACAUUGGUUGCUAAGCCGAAAAAGAAAUAUUAUUUAGAGAAGAGGUUUUCCUUCGAGGGCACCCCUCAAUCUCUAUGAUAAUUUCUUGUCUUCUCCAGGGCCAGAGGGGGUCUCCUUAUAUAGUCCUCCCCUUCUAUGCGUUUUUGGGUCGAUAGGCGAGGUGGUACUAUGUUAUUCUGGAUCCAAUAGGUCGGUGGAACGUCGUGUGCGAAGAGAGUCCGGAACGGAGUCCAGAGGGGGGCGGGCGCCCAGGUCCUCAGGGCAGGCGCCCUGGGCCUGGCCCCUUUCGGGCUCCGCUUCCUUCCCGUGGCUUCUGGAGUCUUCUAGAUGGUAGAAAAUUGCGCGGUGGGUUGAUAUCUCUAUGUAAUCCUGACAUGUGGGCCUUUCUUCCUUAUUUCCUGAUAACCCCCUGCAGAAAUAGACAAACACCAAAACUCAUGGAAUUCUGUCAGAUAAAACCCUAAGUCUAGAUGUUGAUUUCAUUUGGAUCCUUUUCUUUGUUUAUUUGAUAAUUAAAUUUGAUACUUAAGGACCGUCAACAAACUCCCCCAAGCUUACCUCUUGCUCGUCCCUGAGCAAGGAUGAACUCAAGAGUUUCUGUAGUGGUUUCAUUUCUUAGAAGUACACACGCAUUUAAGCAAGAUCUCAUCUCUGAGUUAGAAUAAACUGUUAAGACUUAAAACUUACUUACUUUACCUACACCAUAGGACUUGUAACCGUCACUUCUGUCUUGAGUGGUUAAAAGAUAGAACAGUCUAGCCAAUUGCCAUGUCUCUUAUUCUUGAUCAGCUAUAGCUCUGGGGUUUUUGCAGAUUUUCAAAUAAAACUCAGAAAUUCCUUGUAUGAUUCUCUCAGGUCUCUCUUUUGUGGUAUUUUUGGAUCCUUACCAAGGCAGUGAUGGUAUAUGCCUUCUCUCAAAAUAUGUAGUAUUGGUGGUAUGAAGCAUAGUGUCAUUGUCUUCUCUCUCACCCUACUCUAAUAAGGCUUUAAUAUCUGGAGCUCAUAGGUGGGCGAUAAAGUAUACAUACUUACAAGACAUUUAUUGCAUAGUCAAACCAUGGAUCCAAAGAAACAAAUCAAUAAGCCAAAUCAAGAUGUGCAUGUGUGGCGAAUGAAUGGUGUAUGGUGAUAACAAUGGUGGUGGAAGUCUAAUUCUACUUUGCUCUUUGAGGGGAUACAUACCUUCCUUGCUUUUGAAACUUUAUGAGGAGAAUGAGAUGCUCUUCUUUUUUCUUUUCUUUCAAGGUUCCGAGCACUUGCUCCUUUUUAUUUCCUCGUAUCUUUUAUUUUCUUUUUCUCUUUUUUUUUCAGAGCAUUCAUCUCUUGAGAUAAUAUAGCAAGUGGUAGUAACAAGAUAACUUGAGCAUUUAUUUCACAAGGGGAAACAGAAAUAUUUUUGGUUAUUCUCUCCCGGAUUAGGAGUAGAAUACUUUUGGGUGGUUUUGGAGAUGGAAAUGAGUAGAUAUAUGUGGAUGGUACUUCCGGAGUAGAAGUAGCAUGUAUGAGUUAACGUGCAAAUGAAUCUUGAUUUAACCACAUGACAAGCUCCUAAGGGUCUAUACAGCUUGACCACACUCAAUGCUCAUAAGCAGUAAAUAGUAAAUGUGUGGCUCAAGGUCUAGCAAGCAUGUAUAUAUGGCUGUGGUAGGAAUUUAAACUCUCAUCAUACAGGAACUCAUCAUGCAACAUUUUAAAGAUUUUCAAAGAUAAAAUUCUCCAGAAUUCUAGCAUCUCUAGGAACAGAUAAACAACAGCUCAACCUUCCCAUAUCGUAUCCGUUAACAACUUAGACUUCAGAUCAAGUUUUCAUCCCACAAGUUUAGGUCUAGAGCAAGCCUUAAAUUAUAACAGUUAUAUCUAAACUUGAGAGAGAACUUCAAAUAUUCAAAUUAGGCAGAGCAACUAUUCAUCAUAUCCAUGCUUAAGUUUUAUUAGAUAUAGAUUAGCAUAGCCACUUUAUUUAUUUAUUAAACACACUAAGCAAAAUAUAUAUAAGCAUAAAAUCUUUAUUUGGUUUUUCAUAGUUAUGUGUAUUUAUAUUCUAAUAUAGUAUAAGUAUAAAGAUAGAUAGAAAUACUUAUCGAGAUAAAUGGGGGUGCUCUCCCCCAAGCUGAAUUUUGACGUAAUUUCUUGAUGUAGCUAGCAGGUGGCAGAGGUGUAUUUGAAAUUCAGCAGCAUUCUGACAGCGAUUAGAAUGUCCUCCGUCUGCUAGUCUUCUUGAUUCUUAAAUUCUGUGGAGCUCAAAUAGACAACAAAGCUUGUGGAACUGGUUAAGUGUUAGCAUAAAUAUCUAGCCUUUAUCAUGUUGAGACUCCUUAAUAAAUAUUACUCCCUGUUUUUAUAUUUUUAUUUUUAUAAAGCAGAAAAAUAUUUAUUUUAUUUUUAUGCCACCACAGUGAAUGUACUUAUGGGUUUUAUGCCACUCGUCUACUCACAUGGGGCUUACAGUUUUUUGUCACAUUUUUAUUUUCUUUCUAGGAUAAUACGAACAUGAUUAACUAAGUAAACUAUUUGAAAUAAUUAAAAGGGAAAGGAUAACUACCAAGUUUACCUCUUGGCAAGGCGUUCGGUGUUUUUAAGUCCUCCGAGCGGGACUCUCCAUUUUCUUAAUCGUCCUGGGAUUCGCUGGAUGACGUAGUCGGUGAUUCCGGUGGCGCCUCCUCUUCGUGUGUAACUAUAUUCUCUCUCCACACCUGACUCGGUGCUAUGGUCUCCUCAGGACAGUUAUGUUCAAGUGGUAUGUCUUCAGUCCUUAUCACUUCUCCUUCGUAGUCUACCCAUCCGUCCUUGAUGAUUUGCCUCCUCUGGUUGCGGUUGCGUUGUCUUCUUCUUGUCCUGACGUGGUCUUCUCCGGUUCCAAUGUAGAUGAUGGCUUUGAUAGUGCUAAGGAACGGUCUUCUAAGGAUGAUGGGUGGAUCGUACUCGUCUUCUCCCAUGUUAAUGACCUAAAAAUCAUCUGGAGCUGAAUGUAUGUUGGUUGUAGGGGCAUGGUUCCAUGCAGGAGCUGAUAAGUGACUGCGGCCAUUAUGUUGACGUCAGAUCCGGUGUCGUAGAGUGUCUUCUAAAAAGAGUAUUUGUUGAUUGUGCACUCAAUGCUUGGAACACCAGGGUCGUCCUUCUUGAUCAAGAAAGGUGACUUGAAUCGACGAUCUUGACCUCCUUGAGCUGCAGUGACCAUCUUAGCUGACUCGGUCCACAUUUGCUUGUUCUUGUUCCUCCUGUUGGUCCUCUUCCUCGGUUCAUGUCGGGAUUGCUCUGAAAUUUGUGUAGUCUUGUUCUUGAAGGAAAGUCUCCUUCUUCCCCUUGAUGUAGAGACUGAUCUUGGCAGCAUUAGCGUAGAUGACAGCUCUAGUGUUUAGGAAUGGCCUCCCUAAGAUGAUGGGUGCCCUCUCCUCAGUACCAGUCUCUAUCACCAUGAAGUCUGCUAGAGCAUACAAGGUACCAACUCGGACGCAGAGGUUCUUCAAUAUUUCCUUUGGGAAACUGAGUGUCCGAUCUGCAACCUUGGGCAUAAUGUUGACGCUGGAGCCAAAGUCGCAGAGUGCUUCUGGGAAGUCCACCAUGCCGAUGGAGAUCGGGAUGACGAGGCGUCCUAGAUCACCUCUCUGAGUAAUUAGGCCUCUGUUGAUUCCAACCUUGAUGUUGUUGAGGACGGUUGUAGUAAUAGUUGUUAUGGUUGUUGAUGUAGUUCACGUCCUCAAGCAUCUUAGGGCAGUGAUUGCCUGAGCGUCCAGUAUCUCCAGUGUGUUUGUGCUCGUAGAUCCUAGUUCUUCACUUGGUGGAAUCUGGGAGUUGUAAAACUCCUUCAUAUUAUGCUCGAAGUGUUCCUGCUCAUAGAGACAAGGUAGAGAUCAAGUGCAUGGGCCCUGUUGGUGGAAAACACCAACAAAACCAAAAGUGUAUUUGUUCUUCUCUAACCUUAAGCAUAGUGAGCAAGACAAAGUUGAUGGAUCAUGAGUGUAGCAUUUGUCAGAUCAGAUGGCUCAACCUAAUGGAAAGAUAAUCUAUCUAUAUUUAUGUUUUGUUUAUAUCUUCCAAAGAUUUAAUGUGCAAUACUUUAGCUUAUAUGAUUAGGAGUGUGGGGUCACGAAGGUAGUACUAAGAACAAAGAUUAAAGGACUAAACAUGUUGAAUUAAUUGAGUUGGUUAAUUUGGAGUUAUAAAUCAUACAUGUUUGUCUCUUUAUUUUAUGUGAACGCUAGAACCAAGGAGAAACUUAUAAAAGUGAUAGUCAAGUACCUUAAGAUGUUACCUUAUUUGAAGAGUGAUGGUACAGUAUCACCUUGUGGAAGCUUUCCUUUCUUAGCGGUUGUGCAUCGUGUUUGUGGCACCCUCCAUGAAUCAUCUCUUAUGAGCUACGUCUUUCUUGUGCAAAUUGUUAAACUUCAUGUGUCACUUUCUUCAUCUCUAAUGAGUUUGCAUCUCAGGACUUCCCAGGUUGAUAUUGAAAGUUUUCCUACAGGGGUUAGUCCAACAAAAUAUACCAAUAUCUACUCAAGCAGUUUUUAGUUCAGUAACCAAACUAGACUCCAUGUCUAAUCAGAUUAAGGAAGGCUAUUUAACCUAAGCACCACGCUUAAUUUAAAUGCCAUUGGAAGUGUGACCAGUACUUCCAAACUAACACUUACUAGGAUAAACAAAGGUAGCAUGAUGGCUUUUAUAGAGAUCUACUCAAGUGGAGAUGAAGUAGUGUGAUUAGUAUUUAAAAAAUUGAGCAUGUCUCAAAGGUAAGGACAACCAACAUAGCAACAUGGCAAAGGAUGUUUUAUGUAAAGUACUCCCCCAAGCUUGAAUUUUGCAAAAUUCAAGAUUAGAUGAAUUUAAUUUAAUGUUGCAUGAUGAUUGGUUGGGCAUACCUUGCGCUUGUCAUUCAUCCGAUCUUCUUGCUCCAAUCCUAGAAAGGUUAGUGGCAAGAAUACCCGAAGGAAUUUUUCUACAAUUAUCUUUAUAUGCUCAAUACACAAGGCAAUGUUGCAAAUAAUUAGAAGUGCUUGUUUUAGGACACUAAGCUUGUCCUUGGGAAACCAUCAAUCAACUCAACGAGAUCUGUAAUAGUUAUUAUAGACAUAUGCAUCGACAACCGCCCUUUUAAAGUUUUUAUAAAUAGAAAGGAAAAGGGGGUUGGAGAUCUCAAAUGUGGUAAGGAUGGAGAGACAAAUUGAUUGGAGAGAUGUUUUAUAUGAGCAAGGACUGGGUGAGGUAUUUAUGAAAUAACUUCCAUGCUCACUGUUGUUUCUCUCAUUCUCAAACUCCAAGGAUGAUUCUUCAUGAAUGUUUAAAAUUCCUCUAGGAUUGUCUCUCAAGUUUGUUUUAUCUAUCCAUUCAAUGGAGAUAGCACAUGGAUUUUUAAUGCCCUCUAGCCAUUGAUGUUGCUCUUCUCGAUCCUCCUUCUUAUGCAUGGGAUGUCUAGAAAGAUUCAUAGGAUUAUCGGGAGGUUCAAGAGGAAGAGCAUAGUAGAAACUAUUAAGCUCAAGGAUGGGAUGGAUAGCCGAAUUAUGGGUUUGAAAUGUUUGGAAAUUGGCUAUUGAAACUUCCUUUCCUUGUCUGGGAGAUGAUUCCUUCUCUAUUUCUAAGAUUUUUCUAUGAAGACUAGUACAAGAUGGAUGUCCACGAAUAAAGACAUACCUUCCUUUACUAAUAGAUAAAGAAAGAAAGACUCUACCAAAGUUUAUAUGAUUAAGACCAAUGUGAAAAUAUUUAGGAAAAACAUGGUCUUGUAGGGCUAGGUCUAAACCAGAAUUUAUAGAAAGAUUAAAAGAUUCCCUAGGUGUAGCUAAAAGUGCAUUAUCUUUUUGAUUAAAAGAUAGGACCUCAGCUAUAGAAAAGGGUUGGUUUUGACCUAUUGCAAUCAACUCCGGACACAUAUCAUAAUUAGGGGCAGGACGUGUUGACUCCCAUGGUCUAUGGCUGGUCUCCGAAGGUGCAAAGAAUUCAAUAAUAGGUAUGGAAUUUGAGUUAUCCAUAAAGAUAAAAAUAAAAAGAUAAAAGAAUAAAAGUAUAAAAGUAUAAUACAAGAUAAUAGCAAGACUCAAAGUUAUCUCAGCAAACCGUCUUUCUCCCCGGCAACGGCGCCAGAAAUGCUUGUUGAUAUUUGGUAACGCAAUUAGAAAAUGAUCCGCAAGCGCACGGAUAUCGGUGAGCAUUUCACCCGGGAGGUUAUCCAGAGUUAUCGUAUUUAUAUUUUUACCACUGGGAGAAAGGGUGCAUCUGACUAACCAAAUCUAUUGCUACUAUCCCUUUAGGCUAGAAAGAAUGUCUCUCGAUGUGAGUGAUGUAUAGAGAAGACUGCAACCUUAGUCUCGUUCUAACCUUGGUAAGGAUGAUCUACUGUUCUAUUGGGGAGGCUCACGGAAUCUAGACAACACAAAGGAUGUUCGACCCGCACCUAUAAACCUACCCGUCCUGCUAACGAGAUGUGAUCUGCAAAGGUAACUCGGAAAUGUCACAUUCCUCGCUACUACCACGGUCCAGCUAGUCAGGGGAUAUCUAUGAGUACCCUAGCCUAAACACCACGUUUACGCUAACAAGUGAUUAGUCUAAUACUCAACCGGAAGAGGAUUAAAGUAAACUCAUAAACCAAAGAACAAUAAAACAAGAACUUACUAGAAUUAGAAGUCGAAUUACUGAAGAAUCUUAGAAGCAAGCCUCGGGUUAGGAGACUUGAUCCCGCAGGUACAACUCGGAGUAGACACCGACAGGCCAGCCUUCCUCCGAUCCACACCUCCACUCUAUCUCUCUCAAUCUAGUAGAAACUAGAAGAUCUAUUUCUACCUUACAUUGGUUGCUAAGCCUAAAAAGAAAUAUUAUUUAGAGAAGAGGUUUUCCUUCGAGGGCACCCCUCAAUCUCUAUGAUAAUUUCUUGUCUUCUCCAGGGCCAGAGGGGGUCUCCUUAUAUAGUUCUCCCCUUCUAUGCGUUUUUGGGUCAAUAGGCUAGGUGGUACUAUGUUAUUCUGGAUCCAAUAGGUCGGUGGAACGUCGUGUGCGAAGAGAGUCCGGAACGGAGUCCAGAGGGGGGCGGGCGCCCAGGUCCUCAGGGCGGGCGCCCUGGGCCUGGCCCCUUUCCGGCUCCGCUUCCUUCCCGUUGCUUAUGGAGUCUUCUAGAUGGUAGAAAAUUGCGCGGUGGGUUGAUAUCUCUAUGUAAUCCCGACAUGUGGGCCUUUCUUCCUUAUUUCCUGAUAAUCCCCUGCAGAAAUAGACAAACACCAAAACUCGUGGAAUUCUGUCAGAUAAAACCCUAAGUCUAGAUGUUGAUUUCAUUUGGAUCCUUUUCUUUGUUUAUUUGAUAAUUAAAUUUGAUACUUAAGGACCAUCAACAAUAGACAUAGCCCUUUGAAGUAGAGAAACCAUAGUUAUCCUCUCUAUUCUGCUACCAUCGCCCAUAUACUAGAUUGCUCUACUCUCUAUUCCCAUAUUAUCACCCAUUGUUAUCUUACCUUUAAUAUUGUUCUUAUUUAAUUCUACCAUCUUUCCUAUUUACACAUAUCUAUCUAUCUUGGUUAAGUUACAGCGUAGUUGGUUCUCCCGAUUCCCUGUGGAUACAAUAAGACCUUUAACCGGGUAAAAGCUACAACAGUAUCCGUGCGCUUGCGGAUUUAUCUGUGUGCGUAUAAAUACCAUAGUACACUCUAGUGCCAUGCUGGGGAUGACAACCUAGUAUUCAAGUGGUGUUUGCAAGUGUCAACACCUCUCAACCCUAAUUCAUUGUUCCUCAAGGGAGAAGAAGCCUCUGGUCAAGCCUAGAGCCACCACAUCAAUUAGACAUCUAGAUUAGCAUAGCUACAUAGGAUUAGAACUAGGAGUCAAUCUUCGAUUCGUUUCCGGAUCUGUCAAGAGGAUUCUUAGUUCUCUAAUUAUUCUUCUAAUUGUUUAUCUUUGUUCUUCAUUAUUAUGAAUAUGACUUUGUUCUAUUUCAAUAUAUUGCUUAUGACUUUGCUCUACUUGUUUAUAUUCAAGAUUAUAUUGUUCUUAGUGUAUCAUAGUUAUAUACUUGGCUUAGUUAGAUUGGAUCUAUAUACAUGUUUAGGAUCGUAUAGCGUUUAUCCAUAGGAUCCAUGGGUAAAUGAUAGAUAUUGUGUAGGCGUGGUGCUUAUACCGUAUUUAUCUGCGAUUGUACCCAAUAUGCCAGAUCGUGGGGUAGUUCGUGAUAGUGACAACUUCAUUGAUUCUUAUAUAGUAUCCCUCUCGUGUAUUGGGCUGGCAGAGCAACAUUGUUACAGGGGAGUGAUUACGAUGUUUAUCAUAUUCCUUGCUAAUAUCACUAUGUAUGGGCGUAGUCUUGUCUCACAAUGAUUGCUAAGUAUGCUUGCACUAACUAUGAUAAUGCUAGACUAUAUAGUUGAGAAUAACUUAGGAAAUAUUCUUGUAGUUCGUUCUAAUUCCAUGCUAAUGACUUGCUAGAAUAUCUAAUUGAGGUGCUUAUCAUAUUUAUUAUGUGGCUAAGUUAUGCUGAUCAGAUUAAUUUUCUUUGUCACUAUUUAUUACUUUAUAUCCUUUAUGUGACACUUACCCCUGUAUGAAAGAGUUAGAUAAAUGUUCUCAAUUAUACAUGCAAUGAUAGAUACCCAAUCUCAUAUUCCAUUCUAUAAUCAACAUUGAUGAUUGCUAAUCCCUUCCCAGUGGUAAAAAUAUAAAUAACGAUGCCUAGAAUACUUCCCGGUUAAAAUGCUACAUCGGUAUUAAUCUGUGCGCUUGUAGAUCCCAUUCAUUAUUUAUUUAGAUGAGCAAUUGCAUAUUUCAAUACUGCGUCUAUCAUAUCAUGCUAGGGAUGACAACUUGGCUUAAGUGGUAUGAGGGAUAGGUUUGGCAUUUUUCGCACCAUUAUCAGAAUUAGAAAACUAAGUCUUGUCACACCCAUAUUUUAAGAACAAAAUAGGAUGCAUAUAAGACUCAUAUGUGCCCCAGAAACAGUCGCACACAUAAGUAGAUAAAUCUCAAAUGUACCAUUGCAGUGUUUAUUACAUAGCGGAACAAUAAUAAAUCACAUAGUCUUACACAAAAAUAAUAUGAGAUAAACAACGCUCUUGACGGAAGCACCACACAGGGACACUGUUGACUGGUUGACUCCAAACCUAGUACUCAUAACGGUAAUCCUCAUUCCAGUCAUCUUCAUUAUCAUAUCCUGAGGUGUUAGGAAAUUGCAAGAGUGAGCACAUAUCGUACUCAACAAGUAUAACCAGGGGUUCAUGAGGCUCAAAUAGCUGACACUGGUUUGACUGCAUUUAGCUUUUAAUAGUGGAUAGCAUGUUUACUCAUUGGAUAGCAAAUCUCAAGGUAGCAUUAUUAAAUCCCAUAACCACAUGAUCAAUGUAUACAAGAAUUAAGAAUAACACAUAUAAACAACAUAAUAAACCAUCAUUUAUUAUCAUUAUUCACGUUCAUCAGUGUCCAUCUAUUCCGUCAGUUUUCCGAGCCGCCCGUAUCUGUGGGCACGGCUAGUAUACCAUAUUUAACACUCUGCAGAGGUUGUACAUCUUUACCCAUGAGUCGUGAUUUACCCUUUCGCCCGAGGUUGCAAGUCUCUGAACCCCCUUCCUAGGGAGGUCGGCAGGGAUCACUAUGAAGCCUUUCAAAGGUUUCGUCUAACAAGUUAGGGCGAUUAGAUUCACUCGGCACGCAGAUAUAGAGCCUCCCUUCCAUGGCACAUAACCCGCAGCCUAUACACAUGGACAGAGGCCACACUAUACCCAACGUGUCUAGCCAUUCUUACGCCAUUUAAGGUAACCACUAACAAGCUAGAAAAGGUCAUACUGAGCUAAAACCAGAGCCAUAUAGCCCUCAUGGUUGUACGAAUUGUCCCAGCUUUUGCCAAGGGAUAAGUCCUUAUGGAGGGUCAAGAUCAAUCUAGCAAAAGCUAGAGUUCUUUCCACCCUUUAUGUUCAAGUUGCUAGAAAGCUUAUUUUAUUGUUUAUUGUACAUUCAAAUAUUCAUGUUACAAGAUCAUGGGUUAAUAUUCAAGCACUAGCAAGAACUACCCAAAUGCAUAUCCAAAAUAGGUAAUAAGGAAUUCAGGAUAACAAUCAUCUAUGAUUUUGCUAAGGUCAUCAAGGUGGACACAUGCAUAUGAUAAAUAUUGUAUUAAUUGUGUAUAGGUAACAAGGAUGAUCCCAAGUUAUACUUGCCUUGCUCAAAGCUCUCCUGAGCCUGCUGGUCUUCAAAGGCUUGGUCUUGAUCACCAACGUACGGCUCACCGUCUAUUUCCAAACAUUAAUCAACAACACGCAAUCCAAUGUAGACAAUCAUACACAAAGCAAACAACUAUAAUUAGAACAUUACACCAAACAGUAGUAAAACAAAUUUAAAAGUUUACCAAAAUAUUCUAUGCAGCUCUACGAUCACACAAACGUAAAGUUCACGAAAAUCGGAAUUAAAACGGAGUAGUUAUGCAAUUUCCAAGAUUUCCUAUAGAGAAAUAAUUAAUUAAAUGCUACUGCAGAACUAAAAAGUUUCAAAACAGUAAACUAAUACUUCUAACAUGUAGGGAUCGUAAAUACGAAUCCAAUGGAAUUUGAAUGGACAAAAACGGAGUUAAAAUGAGCAUUUUAUAAGCAAAACAAAUCCAGUGGCAAUUCUAUAAUUAGCUAAAAACGUAUUUAGCUUCAUCCCGAACGAAAAUACGCUUUCUACUCAGCAACGCGUAUUUUCCGGAGGGCGCCAAGGACCGCGGGCGAAUUACAAAAGAACACACGGACUCUUUAGAAAGAUUUCCAACGAAGGGGUAUCUUCAUUUGCUGGCCAUCCGAUCUCCAUCCGACGGCCGAGAUUUAGCAACGCGUAUUUUCCGGAGGGCGCCAAGGACCGCGGGCGAAUUACAAAAGAACACACGGACUCUUUAGAAAGAUUUCCAACGAAGGGGUAUCUUCAUUUGCUGGCCAUCCGAUCUCCAUCCGACGGCCGAGAUUUCUCCAGGGGUUAACAGCGGCGGCGGCCGACCAGCUUCCUGGUCUCCGGUGCGGUGGCGCCAUUGUUGCCACUGUUGAUAUUUGGUAACGCAAUUAGAAAAUGAUCCGCAAGCGCACGGAUAUCGGUGAGCAUUUCACCCAGGAGGUUUUCCAGAGUAUCGUAUUUAUAUUUUUACCACUGGGAGAAAGGGUGCAUCUGACUAACCAAAUCUAUUGCUUCUACCCCUUUAGGCUACAAAGAAUGUCUCUCGAUGUGAGUGAUGUAUAGAGAAGACUACAACCGUAGUCUCAUUCUAACCUUGGUAAGGAUAAUCUACUGUUCUAUUGGGGAGGCUCACGGAAUCUAGACAACACAAAGGAUGUUCGACCCGCACCUAUAACCCUACCCGUCCUGCUAACGAGAUGUGAUCUACAAAGGUAACUCGGAAAUGUCACGUUCCUCGCUACUACCACGGUCCAGCUAGUCAGGGGAUAUCUAUGAGUACCCUAGCCUAAACACCACGUUUACGCUAACAAGUGAUUACUCUAAUACUCAACCGGAAGAGGAUUAAAGUAAACUCAUAAACCAAAGAACAAUAAAACAAGAACUUACUAGUAUUAGAAGUCGAAUUACUGAAGAAUCUUAGAAGCAAGCCUUGGGUUAGGAGACUUGAUCCCGUAGGUACAACUCGGAGUAGACACCGACAGGCCGGCCUUCCUCCGAUCCACACCUCCACUCUAUCUCUCUCAAUCUAGUAGAAACUAGAAGAUCUAUUUCUACUUUACAUUGGAUGCUAAGCCUAAAAAGAAAUAUUAUUUAGAGAAGAGGUUUUCCUUCGAGGGCACCCCUCAAUCUCUAUGAUAAUUUCUUGUCUUCUCCAGGGCCAGGGGGGCCUUGCUUAUAUAGUCCUCCACUUCUAUGCGUUUUUGGGUCGAUAGGCGAGGUGGUACUAUGUUUUCCUUGAUCCAAUAGGUCGGUGGAACGUCGUGUGCGAAGAGAGUCCGGAACGGAGUCCAGAGGGGGGCGGGCGCCCAGGUCCUCAGGGCGGGUGCCCUGGGCCUGGCCCCUUUCGGGCUCCGCUUCCUUCCCGUGGCUUCUAGAGUCUUCUAGAUGGUAGAAAAUUGCGCGGUGGGUUGAUAUCUCUAUGUAAUCCCGACAUGUGGGCCUUUCUUCCUUAUUUCCUGAUAACCCCCUGCAGAAAUAGACAAACACCAAAACUCGUGGAAUUCUGUCAGAUAAAACCCUAAGUCUAGAUGUUGAUUUCAUUUGGAUCCUUUUCUUUGUUUAUUUGAUAAUUAAAUUUGAUACUUAAGGACCGUCAACAAACUCCCCCAAGCUUACCUCUUGCUCGUCCCUGAGCAAGGAUAGACUCAGCUAUGGAUCAUAAAUUGUUGCAAUAUUUUUAAAAAUUGAUGUACACAUGCUUUUUAAAUAAGAUCUCAUCUCUGAGUUAGAGUAAACUGUCAAGACUUAAAACUUACUUACUUUACCUUUCACCAUGGGACUUGUAACCGUCACUUCUGUCUUGAGUGGUUAAAAGAUAGAACAGUCUAGCCAAGUGCCAUGUCUCUUAUUCUUGAUCAGCUAUAGCUCUAGAGUUUUUGCAGAUUUUCAAAUAAAACUCAGAGAUUCCUUGUAUGAUUCUCUCAGAUCUCUCUUUUGUGGUAUUUUUGGAUCCUUACCAAGGCAGUAAUGGGAUAUGCCUUCUCUCAAUAUAUGUAGUAUUUGUGGUAUGAAGCAUAGUGACAUUGUCUUCUCUCUCACCCUACUCUAAUAAGGCUUUAAUAUCUGGAGCUCAUAGGUGGGAGAUAAAGUAUACAUACUUACAAGACAUUUAUUGCAUAGUCAAACCAUGGAUCUAAAGAAACAAAUCAAUAAGCCAAAUCAAGAUGUGCAUGUGUGGCGAAUGAAUGGUGUAUGGUGAUGAUGGUGAUAACAAUGGUGGUGGAAGUCUAAUUCUACUUUGCUCUUUGAGGGGAUACAUACCUUCCUUGCUUUUGAAACUUUAUGAGGAGAAUGAGAUGCUCUUCUUUUUUUUUCUCAGGUGGGUAUCUUGCACCCCUAAUUCUACUGUCGGACACUUGUCCAUUUUUACCUCUCGUCUCACUUUUUCUUUUCUUUCGAGGUUCCGAGCACUUGCUCCUUUUUAUUUCCUCGUAUCUCUUUUUUUUCUUUUCUUUCUUUUUUUUAGAGCACUCAUCUCCUGAAAUAAUAUAGCAAGUGGUAGUAACCAGGAUAACUCGAGCAUUUAUUUCACAGGGAAUAACAGGGAUAGGAUAAUAUUUUUGGAUAUUCUCUCCUGGAUUAGGAGUAGAAUAAUUUUUGGGUGAAUGUGGAGAUGGAAAUGAGUGGAUAUAUUUGGAUGGUACUUCCGGAGUAGAAGUAGCAUGUAUGAGUGAACGUGCAAGUGAAUCUUGAUUUAACCAUAUGACAAGCUCCUAAGGGUCUACACAGCUUGACCACACUCAAUGCUCAUAAGCAGAAAAAAGUAAAUAUGUGGCUCAAAGUCUAGCAAGCAUGUAUAUAUGGCUGUGGUAGGAAUUUAAACUCUCAUCAUAUAGGAACUCAUCAUGUGUUAUUUUAAAGAUUUUUAAAGAUAAAAUUCUCCAGAAUUCUAGCAUCUCUAGGAACAGAUAAACAGCAGCUCAACCUUCCCAUAUCGUAUCCGUUAACAACUUAGACUUCAGAUCAAGUUUUUAUCCCACAAGUUUAGGUCUAGAGCAAGCCUUAAAUUAUAACAGUUAUAUCUAAACUCGAGAGAGAACUUCAAAUUUGCAAAUUAGGCAGAGCAACUAUUCAUCAUAUCCAUGCUUAAGUUUUAUUAUUAAGAUUCAGAUUAGCAUAGCCACUUUAUUAAACACACUAAGCAAAAUAUAUAUAAGCAUAAAAUCUUUAUUUGGUUUUUUAUAGUUAUGUGUAUUUAUAUUCUAAUAUAGUAUAAGUAUAAAGAUAGAUAGAAAUACUUAUCGUGAUAAAUGGGGGUGCUCUCCCCCAAGCUGAAUUUUGACGUAAUUUCUCUUGAUGUAGCUAGCACGUGGCAGAGGUGUGUUUGAAAGUCAGCAGUAUUUUGACAGCGAUUAGAAUGUCCUCCGUCUGCUAGUCUUCUUGAUUCUUAAAUUCUGUGGAGCUCAAAUAGACAACAAAGCUUGUGGAACUGAUUAAGUGUUAGCAUAAAUAUCUAGCCUGUAUCAUGUUGAGACUCCUUAAUAAAUAUUACUCCCUGUUUUUAUAUUUUUGUUUUUAUAAAGUAGAAAAAUAUUUAUUUUAUUUUUAUGCCACCACAGUGAAUGUACUUAUGGGUUUUAUGCCACUCGUCUACUCACAUGGGGCUUACAGUUUUUUUUUCACAUUUUUAUUUUCUUUCUAGGAUAAUACGAACAUGAUUAACUAAGUAAACUAUUUGAAAUAAUUAAAAGGGAAAGGAUAACUACCAAGUUUACCUCUUGGCAAGGCGUUCGGUGUUUUUAAGUCCUCCGAAUGGGACUCCUUGUGUUUUCAGUCAUCCUGGGAUUCGCUAGGUGGCGUAGUCGGUGAUUCCGGUGGCGCCUCCUCUUUGUGUAUAACUAUGUUCUCUUUCCACACCUGACUCGGUGCUACGGUCUCCUCAGGACAGUUCUGUUCAAGUUGUAUGUCUUCAGUCCUUAUCACUUCUCCUUCGUAGUCUACCCAUCCGUCCUUGAUGAUUUUACUCCUCUGGUUGCGGUUGCGUUGUCUUCUUCUUGUCCUGACCUGCUUAGAGUCUUCAACUAUAUAGUUAGGGUCAAUAAAAUAGCGGCGUACCUUCUUAGAGGGGAAGUGCAUGUGGACUUCUCCGGUUCCAAUGUAGAUGAUAACUUUGAUAGUGUUGAUGAACGGUCUUCUAAGGAUGGUGGGUGGAUCAUACUCGUCUUCUCCCAUGUCAAUGACCUGAAAAUCAUCUGGAGCUGAAUAUAUUGGUUGUAGGGGCAUGGUUCCAUGCAAGAGCUGAUAAGUGACUACGGCCAUUAUGUUGUCGUCAGAUCCGGUGUCGUAGAGUGUCUUCUAAAAAGAGUAUCCAUUGUUUGUGCAUUUGAUUCUUGGAACACCAGGGUCGUCCUUCUUGAUCAAGAAAGGUGACUUGUGUCGACGAUCUUGACCUCCUUGAACUGCAGUGACCAUCUUAGCUGACUCUAUCCACAUUUGCUUGUUCUUGUUUCCUCCUGUUGGUCCUCUUUCUUGGUUGAUGUCAGGGUUGCUCUGAAGUUUGUGUCGUCUUGUUCUUGAAGGAAAGUCUCCUUCUUCCCCUUGAUGUAGAGACUGAUCUUGGCAGCAUUAGCGUAGAUGACAGCUCUGGUGUUUAGGAAUGGCCUCCCUAAGAUGAUGGGUGCCCUCUCCUCAGUGCCAGUCUCUAUCACCACGAAGUUUGCUGGAGUGUGCAAGGUACCAACUCGGACAUAGAGGUUCUUCAAUAUUUCCUUUGGGAAACUAAGUGUCUGAUCUCCAUUGUGUUUGUGCUCGUAGAUCCCGGUUCUUCACUUGAUGGAAUCUGGGAGUUGUAAAACGCCUUCACGUUUCUCAAAAUGUGUCCUGCUCAUAGAGACAAGGCAGAGAUCAAGUGCAUGGGCCCUGUUGGUGGAAAACACCAACAGAACCAAAAGUGUAUUUGUUCUUCUCUAACCUUAAGCAUAGUGAGCAAGACAAAGUUGAUGGAUCAUGAGUGUAGCAUUUAAAACAUUUGUUAGAUCAGAUGGCUCAACCUAAUGGAAAGAUAAUCUAUCUAUAUUUAUGUUUUGUUUAUAUCUUUCAAAGAUUGAAUGUGCAAUACUUUAGCUUAUAUGAUUAGGAGUGUGGGAUCACGAAGGUAGUACUAAGAACAAAGAUUAAAGGACUAAACAUGUUGAAUUAAUUGGGUUGGUAAAUUUGGAGUUAUAAAUCAUACAUGUUUGUCUCUUUAUUUAUGUGAAUGCCAGAACCAAGGAGAAGCUUAUAAAAGUGUUGGUCAAGUACCUUAAGAUGUUACCUUACUUGAAGAGUGAUGGUACAGUAUCACCUUGUGGAAGCUUUCCUUUCUUAGCGGUUGUGUAUCGUGUUUGUGGCACUCUCCAUGAAUCAUCUCUUUAUGAUGAAUGAGCUAUGUCCUUCUUGUGUAAAUUGUUAAACUUCAUGUGUCUCCUUUAUCUCCAAUGAGUUUGUAUCUCAGGACUUCCCAGGUUGAUAUUGAAAGUUUUCCUGCAGGGGUUAGUCCAACAAAAUAUCCCAUAUCUACUAUAGCAUACUAUCGUCUCAAAAAUCAACCUAGACACCAUGUCUAAUUUGAUUUAGGAGGGCAUUUUAACCUAAGCACCAUGCUUAAUUUAAAAAUCCUUUGGAAGUGAGAUCAUCAUUCCUAAACUAAGCACCACGCUUGAUUUAAGAGAUAAAUGAAACUACUCCAAACCUAGACAUAUACUAAAGCAAAUAAAGGUAGCAUGAGAGCAUUUAUAGCGAUCUACUCAAGUGGAGGUGAAGUAGUGUAAUUAGUACUUAACAAAUUGAGCAUCUCUCAAAGGUAGGGACAACCAACGUAGCAACAUGGCAAAGGAUGUUUUUAUGUAAAGUACUCCCCCAAGCUUGAAUUUUGCAAAAUUCAAGUUUGGAUGAAUUUAAUUCAAUGUUGUGUGAUGGUUGGUUGGACAUACCUUGUGCUUGUUAUUCAUCCGAUCUUCUUGCUCCAAUCCUGGAAAGGUUAGUGACAAGAAUACCCGAAGGAAUAUUUCUACAAUAUGCUCAAUACACAAGGCAAUGUUGCAAAUAAGUGCUUGUUUUAGGACACUAAGCUUGUCCUUGGGAAACCAUCAAUUAACUCAACGAGAUCUGCAAUAUUUAUUAUAGACAUAUGCAUCGACAACCACUCUUUUAAAGUUUUUAUAAAUAGAAAAGAAGAGAGGGUUGGAUAUCUCAAAUGUGACAAGGAUGGAGAGACUAAUUGAUUGGAGAGAUGUUUUAUAUGAGCAAGGACUGGGUGAGGUAUUUAUGAAAUAACUUUCAUGCUCACUGUUGUUUCUCUCAUUCUCAAACUCCAAGGAUGUUUCUUCAUGAAUGUUUAAAAUUCCUCUAGGAUUGUCUCUCAAGUUUGUUUUAUCUAUCCAUUCAAUGGUGAUAGCACAUGGAUUUUUAAUGCCCUCUAGCCAUUGAUGCUGCUCUUCUCGAUCCUCCUUGUAGUCUUGGUGACUCUUAUGAAUGGGAUGUCUAGAUAGAUUCAUAGGAUUAUCGGGAGGUUCAAGAGAAAAAGCGUAGUAGAAAUUAUUAGGCUCAAGGAUGGGUUGGAUAGCCGAAUCAUGGGAUUGGAAUGUUUGGAAAUCGGCUAUUGAAACUUCCUUUCCUCGUCUGGGAGAUGAUUCCUUCUCUAUCUCUAUGAUUUUUCUAUGAAGACUAGUACAAGAAGGAUGUCCACAAAUGAAGACAUACCUUCCUUUACUAAUAGAUAAAGAAAGAAAGACUCUACCAAAGGUUAUAUGAUUAAGACCAAUGUGAAAAUAUCGAGAAAAAACAUGGUCUUGUAGGGCUAGGUCUAAACCAGAAUUUAUAAAAAGAUUAAUAGAUUCCCUAGGUGUAGCUAAAAGUGCAUUAUCUUUUUGAUUAAUAGAUAGGACCUCGGCUAUAGAAAAGGGUUGGUUUUGACCUAUUGCAAUCAACUCCGGACACAGAUCAUAAUUAGGGGCAGAACGUGUUGACUCCCAUGGUCUAUGGAUGGUCUCCGAAGGUGCAAAGAAUUCAAUAAUAGGUAUGGAAUUUAAGUUAUCCAUAAAGAUAAAAAUAAAAAGAUAAAAGAAUAAAAGUAUAAAAGUAUAAUACAAGAUAAUAGCAAGACUCAAAGUUAUCUCAGCAAACCGUCUUUCUCCCCGGCAACGGCGCCAGAAAUGCUUGUUGAUAUUUGGUAACGCAAUUAGAAAAUGAUCCGCAAGCGCACGGAUAUCGGUGAGCAUUUCACCCGGGAGGUUUUCCAGAGUAUCGUAUUUAUAUUUUUACCACUGGGAGAAAGGGUGCAUCUGACUAACCAAAUCUAUUGCUACUACCCCUUUAGGCUACAAAGAAUGUCUCUCGAUGUGAGUGAUGUAUAGAGAAGACUACAACCGUAGUCUCAUUCUAACCUUGGUAAGGAUAAUCUACUGUUCUAUUGGGGAGGCUCACGGAAUCUAGACAAUACAAAGGAUGUUCGACCCGCACCUAUAACCCUACCCGUCCUGCUAACGAGAUGUGAUCUACAAAGGUAACUCGGAAAUGUCACGUUCCUCGCUACUACCACGGUCCAGCUAGUCAGGGGAUAUCUAUGAGUACCCUAGCCUAAACACCACGUUUACGCUAACAAGUGAUUACUCUAAUACUCAACCGGAAGAGGAUUGAAGUAAACUCAUAAACCAAAGAACAAUAAAACAAGAACUUACUAGUAUUAGAUGUCGAAUUACUGAAGAAUCUUAGAAGCAAGCCUCGGGUUAGGAGACUUGAUCCCGUAGGUACAACUCGGAGUAGACACCGACAGGCCGGCCUUCCUCCGAUCCACACCUCCACUCUAUCUCUAUCAAUCUAGUAGAAACUAGAAGAUCUAUUUCUACUUUACAUUGGAUGCUAAGCCUAAAAAGAAAUAUUAUUUAGAGAAGAGGUUUUCCUUCGAGGGCACCCCUCAAUCUCUAUGAUAAUUUCUUGUCUUCUCCAGGGCCAGGGGGGCCUUGCUUAUAUAGUCCUCCCCUUCUAUGCGUUUUUGGGUCGAUAGGCGAGGUGGUACUAUGUCUUCCUUGAUCCAAUAGGUCGGUGGAACGUCGUGUGCGAAGAGAGUCCGGAACAGAGUCCAGAGGGGGGCGGGCGCGCAGGUCCUCAGGGCGGGCGCCCUGGGCCUGGCCCCUUUCGGGCUCCGCUUCCUUCCCGUGGCUUCCGGAGUCUUCUAGAUGGUAGAAAAUUGCGCGGUGGGUUGAUAUCUCUAUGUAAUCCCGACAUGUGGGCCUUUCUUCCUUAUUUCCUGAUAACCCCCUGCAGAAAUAGACAAACACCAAAACUCGUGGAAUUUUGUCAGAUAAAACCCUAAGUCUAGAUGUUGAUUUCAUUUGGAUCCUUUUCUUUGUUUAUUUGAUAAUUAAAUUUGAUACUUAAGGACCGUCAACAGCCACCACGAAGGUCGCCGGCGUUCUUCAAUCUCGUGUUUUUGGCCACCAAACUCCGAACCAAGCGCACGGGUCGAAAGAGGAGGGAGAGGCGAGCUCACCUACGCCGAAAACAAGGACGAAGAAGACGCGGGGACGGAGCAGUGCUCGGUAUGGCGGAAGACAACUCGGCGAGAUCUGAAACUCGAGAUUUACGAAGAUAGGGCACGGCUUGGAUGAUUUGGAUGUGAAAAGGGAGAUGCGGGGCGGCUCAGGGGCUUUAUAGGUGUCUUAUGCGGGAAGUAAUCCUGUCCAAAUCGGGAUUGAUUCGCUCAGAUUUCCUUCGGCGGUGUCCUGCUCAGGUACGCGCGUUGGGGAAGAAAAGAGGGAGGGAGAGGAGGCUGACACGCGGGACCCAUCUGGCGGUGAAGGGGGAGGUGGGACCCAGACGACGGUGAGAGAAGAGGCGGGUGGGAAGCUGGGUUGCUUGCCGGGCCGAGCGCAGGGUGGAAGGGGGAGUGGGCCGCGUGCGAGGGAGGGGGAAAAACAGGCCGGGGGUGGGUCUGGCUGGGUUUACCUUUUCUUUUUUUUUCCUUUUUUGUUUUAUUUUUCCUAUUUCUUCUUUGUUUUCUAAAGUCUUUUUGAAAAGAGAUUUUAAAUCCUUUUGGGAGAAAUACAAAAUACAUAGACAAAAAGCAAGCAAGCAAUUAAAUAAAUAAAUUAAUUCCAACAUGAAUGCACCACCAUGUUUCUAAACUUAUAAUAAAUUUUAAUUUUGACCAAAACUAUUUUAUUUACUAGAUUAAAUGCUCACCAAAAAUGCUUAAUUAAAUCAAAUUAAUUCCUAUUAAUUGAAAACAAAUUUUUGGGUGUUACAAAUUCUACCCCGUGUUGACGGUCCUUAAGUAUCAAAUUUAACUAUCAAAUAAACAAAGAAAAGGAUCCAAAUGAAAUCAACAUCAAGACUUAGGGUUUUAUCUGACAGAAUUCCACGAGUUUUGGUGUUUGUCUAUUUCUACAGGGGGUUAUCAGGAAAUAAGGAAGAAAGGCCCACACGUCGGGAUUACGUAAAGAUAUUAACGUGCCGCGCAAUUAUCUUACAUCUAGAAGACUCCAGAAGCCACGAGACCGAAGCGGAGGCGAAACGGGGCCAGAGACAGGGCGCCCGCCCUGUCCUACUGGGCGCCCGCCCACCUCCUGUGGCCAAUCACGCUCAAUCUCGCGGAUUAUGUUCCACCGACCUAAAGGAUCAAGAAUAACCGUUCAAUCAAUGUCGGUUUGAUCCGACGGCCCAGGUUCACUUGAGGGGACUAUAAAACCAGACCCCCUGGCCCCUGGAGGAGACAACCCCUUGAUCAUUAUUCAUUAUUCAUAGAAAGAGCAAAAGCUAGGGUUUAGAGAUGAGAGCUCUCCUCUCUUCUCUAAACUAGAGUAGAUCUAGAUAGUAGCGAGAUGGAGAGCGAAGGAGGAUUAGAGGAGAGGCCGGCCUGUCGGUUCUUCCUCCGGUUGUACUUCGCCAUGAUCAAGCUCUAAUCAAGCUUGCUCAUGGGAUGACUCUGGUAAUCUACUUCUAAUUCAUUAUGCAAUUACUAAUCAUGUAUGUUCUAGUUCACAACUCUUUUGAGUACUUCUAAUCUAUAGGACCCUAUAGGUUAGAGUUGUAGUAUAGGUGUAAGCGUGGUGCUUAGACCUAGAUUACUUGUGGAUAUCCCCUGACUAGCUGGAUCGUGUGGUAGGCCGCGUAGGUGACAGUUACGUUGGUCCCCUGUAGUCCACCUCUUGUUAGCAGGACGGGUAGGGUUUAUCGGCCUAUGGAUAAGCAUCCUUUGUGGUGUACUCUUAUCACAUGGUUCGUCCCAGACAUAGACAUACCCCUUUGAAGUAGAGAAACCAUAGUUAUCCUCUCUAUUCUGCUACCAUCGCCUAUAUACUAGAAUUGCUCUACUCUCUAUUCCCAUAUUAUCACUCACUGUUAUCUUACCUUUAAUAUUGUUCUUAUUCGAUUCUACUAUCUUUCCUAUUCACACCAAUUUACUUAUCUUGGUUAAGUUAGAGCGUAGAUCAGUUCUUCCGUUUCCCUGUGGAUACGAUAAAACCUUUAACCGGGUAAAAGCUUCAACGGUAUCCGUGCGCUUGCGGAUUAUCUGUGUGCGUAUAAAUACCAUAGUACACUCUAGUGCCACGCUGCGGAUGACAACCUAGUAUUCAAGUGGUGUUAGCAAGUGUCAACAAGCAUUUUUGGCGCCGUUGCCGGGGAAACGGUUGCUGAGUUGACUACGAACUAGUUUAAUCAUUUUAUAAAAAAUAAAUAAAUAAAUAAAUAAAUAUAUUUUCCUUUUAUCCUUUGCCUCAUCUCUGCUAUUCUUUCUUCUUAUCUAAUCCUUGAUCUCUGGUCUAUUAUGAAUUCAAAUAUGUCUAUCUAUGAAUUUCAUUUCAGAAGAAGUUCUUUGCCCAAAACUUUCGAUUCCAGAAGAAGUUCUUCUAAUUCACUUUUUUGAGGGCCUUAGUAGGAAAAAUAAGCAAACCCUUCAUGCGGCCUCUAGAGGAUCUUUCCACCACCUAUCCGCUAGUAAAGCUUGGAAUUUGAUUGAUUUAAUGAGCGGAAAGUCUCCUAGCUUUUAUAUCCCUGAGAAAGAGACAGUACCAGUUCCUAGACAAGAAGAAGAAGUUUUGAUAGCCAGAUCACAACCACUUCAAUUCCAAACUUUAGCUAUCGAUCCUAAACCAUCAAUACCCCAAAAUUCUUCAAGGGAGGGAGGAAUUCCGAACUUAAAUCUUUCAGAUACUAAUGGUUUAGACUUUUAGUUCCAUAAGAGACCUUCAAGCAGGGAUAAUUCAAAUCCUCGCAAUAAUGGUUCUCUUAGAGAAUGUCCUGGUUCCUGUUAUGAAGAAGUCGAGGAUGACAUAUCAAGUGAAGGAGAGCUAAGCCAUAUUGAAAAUUCUAACACCUCCCCUUUCCUGAUUACAAGUUCUAAAUGGCUAGAAUGUGUAGAAUGGAUGGAUAAGGAAGAAGCCUUAAUGAAUUCUUACUUUGGAUCAAUUUCAAAUGGUGAGUUCUUGACUCCCUUUGAAGAUGGGAUUCAUCCAACUAUAGAAGAGGACAUAAGUGAGACCAAUCCAAGAGAAACUCUGAACAUUCAGAUUGGAGACGAAGAUAACAUUAAUGAGGAUGGAAUUUAUUUCAUAGCCACUUUGUUUACUCCAUGCUCAUAUGCAAUAUCUUCCCAAUCUAUUGGUCUCUCCAACAUCACCACAUUUGAGAUCUCCAACCCCCUCUUCCUUUCUAUUUAUAAAAACUUUAAAAGGGCGGUUGUCGAUGCAUAUGUCUAUAAUAAAUAUUGCAGAUCUCGUUGAGUUGAUCUAGAUAUAGGUUGGCGUCAGAGGGGAAACCACUUCGCCAACAUAAACUGAUGGUUUCCCAAGGACAAGCUUAGUGUCUUAAAAUAAGCAUUGAUCAGAUCGUAACAUGAGCUUUUAAUUAUUUACAACAUUACCUGGUGUAUUGAGCAUAUAAGGAUAAUCGUAAAAAUAUUCCUUCGGGUAUUCUUGUCACUAACCUUUCUAGGAUUGGAGCAAGAAGAUUGGAUGAAUGACAAGCACAAGGUAUGUCCAACCAAUCAUCAUAUAACAUUGAAUUAAAUUCAUCCAAACUUGAAUUUUGCAAAAUUCAAGCUUGGGGGAGUACUUUACAUAAAAACAUCCUUUGCCAUGUUGCUAUGCUGGUUGUCCCUACCUUUGAGACAUGCUCAAUUUGUUAAAUACUAAUCACACUACUUCAUCUCUACUUGAGUAGAUCUCUAUAAAUGCUGUCAUGCUACCUUUGUCUAUUUACUAGCAAGUGUUGGUUUGGAAGUACUCGCCAUACUUCCAUUGGCAUUUAAAUUAAGCAUGGUGCUUAGGUUAAAUAGCCUUCCUUAAUCUGAUUAGACAUGGAGUCUAGUUCGGUUAUUGAACUAAAAUUGCUUGUGUAGACAUUGGUAUAUUUUUGUCGGACUAACCCCUGCAGAAAAACUUUCAAUAUCGAUUUGGGAAGUCCUGAGAUAAACUCACAUCAGAGACGAAGAGAGUGACACAUGAAGUUUAACAAUUUGCACAAGAAGGACAUAGCUCAUUCAUCAUAGAGAUAUGAUCCAUGGAGGGUGCCAUGAACACGAUGCACAACCGCUAAGAAAGGAAAGCUUCCACAAGGUGAUACUGUACCAUCACUUUUCAAGCAAGGUAACAUCCUAAGGUACUUGACUAUCACUUUUAUAAGCUUCUCCUUGGUUCUGGCAUUCAUAUAAAUAAAAGAGACAAACGUGUAUGAUUUACAACUCUAGAUUAACCAACCCAACUGAUUCAACAUGUUUAGUCCUUUAAUCCUUGUUCUUAGUACUACCUCCAUGAUCCCACACUCCUAAUCAUAUGAGCUAAAAUGUUACACAUUCAAUCAUUGAGAGAUAUAAAGAAAAAGACAUAUACAUAGAUAGAUUAUCUUUCCAUAAGGUUGAGCGAUCUGAUCUGACAAAUGUUAUAAGUGCUACACUCAUGAACUUAUCAUCCAUCAACUUUGUCUUGCUCACUACGCUUAAGGUUAGAGAAGAACAAAUACACUUUUGGUUCUGUUGGUGUUUUCCACCAACAGGGCCCAUGCACUUGAUCUCUGCCUUGUCUCUAUGAGCAGGUACACUACGAGCACAAACACACUGAGCAAGAUACUGCUAACACCUCACUUCGAACUGCUGGGCAAACGAAGAACAUGGGUGACACCGUAUUAAAAGGUGCAGACAUCAAGGUCCGCACCUGAAUCAAAUGACGCACCUAAAGAAUGAACACGGUGAGAAGUCUUGUCAAGAAGACUUAAAACAUUGAACCCUCGCCGAAAGGUAAGAUUGGUAGUUAUCCAUAUUUAUCCUUUCUGCAUUCUCUUUUCCCUUUAAUUAUUUACUUUCCUUAAAUAGAUUUUUAGUUAAUCAUGCUAUCUUGAAAAGAAAAUAAAAAUGUUAAAAAAUACUAAGCCCCAUGUGAGUAUACGAGUAGCAUAAAACCCAUAAGUACCUUCACUGUGGUGGCAUAAAAAUAAAAUAAAUAUUUCUUUUCUACUUUAUAAAAUAAAAAUAUAAAAAGAGGGAGUAAUAUUUAUUGAGGAAGCUCAACAUGAUGAAGGCUAGAUAUUUAUGCUAACACUUAAUUAGUUCCACAAGCUUUGUUGUCUAUUUGAGCUCCACAGAAUUUAAGAAUCAAGAAGACUAGCAGACGGAGGACAUUCUAAUCGCUGUCAGAAUGCUGCUGACUUUCAAAUACACCUCUGCCACCUGCUAGCUACAUCAAGAGAAAUUACGUCAAAAUUUAGCUUGGGGGAGAGCACCCCCAUUUAUCUCGCUAAGUAUUUCUACCUAUCUUUAUACUUAUAUUAUAUUAGAAUAUUAAAAUACAUAAACUAUAAAAAAAAACCAAAUAAAGAUUUUAUGCUUAUAUAUAUAUAUACUUUUCUUAGUUUGCUAAAUAAAUAAAUAAAGUUUGCUAUGAAUCUUAAUAAUAAAACUCUAGCAUGGAUAUGAUGAAUAGUUGCUCUGCCUAAUUUGCAAAUUUGAAGUUCUCUCUCAAGUUUAGACAUAACUGUUAUAAUUUAAAGCUUGCUCUAGAUCUAAACUUGUGGGAUGAAAACUUGAUCUGAAAUCUAAGUUGUUAACGGAUAUGAUAUGGGAAGGUUGAGCUGCUGUUUAUCUAUUCCUAGAGAUGCUAGAAUUCUGGAGAAUUUUAUCUUUGAAAAAUCUUUAAAAUGUUGCAUGAUGAGUUCCUGUAUGAUGAAAGUUUAAAUUCCUACCACAGCCAUAUAUACAUGCUUGCUAGACUUUGAGCCACACAUUUAUUAUUUACUGCUUAUGAGCAUUGAGUGUGGUCAAGCUGUGUAGACCCUUAGGAGCUUGUCAUGUGGUUAAAUCAAGAUUCACUUGCACGUUCACUCAUAUAUAUGCUACUUCUACUCCGGAAGUACCAUCCACAUAUAUCCAUCCAUUUCCAUCUCCAGAAUCACCUAAAAAUAUUCUACUCCUAAUUCGGGAGAGAAUAGCCAAAAACAUCUGUGUUUUUUCCUUGUGAAAUAAAUGAGUGCUCUACCACUUGCUAUAUUAUCUCAAGAGAUGAGUGCUCUGAAAAAAAAAGAAGAAAAAAAAAGAGAAUAAAAAAAUAAACGAGGAAAUAAAAAGGGGCAAGUGCCCGGAACCUCGAAAGAAAAGAAAAAAAAGUGAGACGAGAGGUAAAAAUGGAUAAGUGUCCGACAGUACAAGAUACCCACCUGAGUGGAAAGAAAAAGAAGAGCAUCUCAUUCUCCUCAUAAAGUUUCAAAAAGCAAGGAAGGUAUGUAUCCCCUCAAAAGAGCAAAAGUAGAAUUAGACUUUCACCAUUGUUAUCACCAUCAUCACCAUACACUAUUCAUUCGCCACACAUGCACAUCUUGAUUUGGCUUAUUGAUUUGUUUCUUUGGAUCCAUGGUUUGACUAUACAAUAAAUGUCUUGUAAGUAUGUAUACUUUAUCUCCCACCUAUGAGCUCCAGAUAUUAAAGCCUUAUUAGAGUAGGGUGAGAGAGAAGGCAAUGUCACUAUGCCUUAUACCACAAAUACCACAUAUUUUGAGAGAAGGCAUAUACUAUCACUGCCUUGGUAAGGAUCCAGAAAUACCACAAAAGAGAGAUAUGAGAGAGUCAUACAAAGGAAUCUCUGAGUUUUAUUUGAAAAUCUGCAAAAAACUCCAGAGCUAUAGCUGAUCAAGAAUAAGAGACAUGGCACUUGGCUAGACUGUUCUAUCUUUUAACUACUCAAGACAGAAGUGACGGUUACAAGUCCCAUGGUGAAAGGUAAAGUAAGUAAGUUUUAGUUCUUAACAGUUUACUCUAACUUAGAGAUGAGAUCUUAUUUAAAGCAUGUGUACCGUUAAAUUUUUAAGAUAUUGCAACAACUUAUGAUCCAUUGCUGAGUCUAUCCUUGCUCAGGGACGAGCAAGAGGUAAGCUUGGGGGAGUUUGUUGACGGUCCUUAAGUAUCAAAUUUAACUAUCAAAUAAACAAAGAAAAGGAUCCAAAUGAAAUCAACAUCAAGACUUAGGGUUUUAUCUAACAGAAUUCCACGAGUUUUGGUGUUUGUCUAUUUCUGCAGGGGGUUAUCAGGAAAUAAGGAAGAAAGGCCCACACGUCGGGAUUACGUAAAGAUAUUAACGUGCCGCGCAAUUAUCUUACAUCUAGAAGACUCCAGAAGCCACGAGACCGAAGCGGAGGCGAAACGGGGCCAGAGACAAGGCGCCCGCCCUGUCCUACUGGGCGCCCGCCCACCUCCUGUGGCCAAUCACGCUCAAUCUCGCGGAUUAUGUUCCACCGACCUAAAGGAUCAAGAAUAACCAUUCAAUCAAUGUCGGUUUGAUCCGACGGCCCAGGUUCACUUGAGGGGACUAUAAAACCAGACCCCCUGGCCCCUGGAGGAGGCAACCCCUUGAUCAUUAUUCAUUAUUCAUAGACAGAGCAAAAGCUAGGGUU
This 46209-nucleotide long non-coding RNA is filed under the name Sorghum bicolor (sorghum). RNAcentral's name for it is "long non-coding RNA (SBIC_LNC002769)". Lineage: Eukaryota; Viridiplantae; Streptophyta; Magnoliopsida; Poales; Poaceae. The record is from RNAcentral.